This 85545-nucleotide long non-coding RNA is filed under the name Triticum aestivum (bread wheat). RNAcentral describes it as "long non-coding RNA (TAES_LNC028373)". The record is from RNAcentral. Lineage: Eukaryota; Viridiplantae; Streptophyta; Magnoliopsida; Poales; Poaceae.
CAACAACAUGUGGGUCAAGGUACUCUCGUCCAAGGCCAGGGCAUCAUCCAACCUCAACAACCAGCUCAAUUGGAGGCGAUCAGGUCAUUGGUGUUGCAAACUCUUCCAACCAUCUGCAAUGUGUAUGUCCCACCUGAGUGCUCCAACAUCAGGGCACCAUUUGCCAGCAUAGUCGCGGGGAUUGGUGGCCAAUGAAAAAAGCAAGAGCUAUACUAAUAGAUAGAUGGAUCCUCGUUGCUUAGCAGAUGCACCAAUCGAUGUAACGAUGACAAAUAAAGUGGCACGUACCAUCAUGUGUGACCCCGACCAGUGCUAGUUCAAGCUUGGGAAUAAAAGACAAACAAAGUUCUUGUUUGCCAGCAUUGAUUGUCAUUGUUCCAUUCACUGUGUAUUUAGUUGUUCAUCCCUAACCGCAGUUCUAGGCUUACACAUCAAUGGCUAUUUGCUCGUGCCGGCAGGUUCCUAUGUAAUCUACCGACUAAUGGUCGGCCUAUUGACCCAGUUUAUAGGCCGAUUGAUAUAUUAAUUGCUGCUCCCAAACUGACCGACCAGCUAUUAGUUACCAUUUUGCUGAACAUUGCACACAAUAAUAACUCAACAUAUUUUAAUGUCUAGAAGUAAAAGGGCCAUUUUAGCAGCAAAACAAGCGCCUGAUUAGGAACCAUCCAGCACUUUAAAUGUUCACCUAGAUAUUUCUACGUUGAUGCAAUUUUGAGAUUGGUGGCACCGAAACAUUCCUCAAAGCAAUUCUUUAUGGGACUCCAAAGAGGUGAAAAUAAAGUAAAGUUGCCACAUGGUAAAAUAUAAAUCAUGCGGCGAGCAAGAGCAAAUAUUGAGUCAUGAUAGCAAGCGCCAAACAUGCCAUUAAACUCUUCAUAUGGUUCCGUGCAGAGAAGGGGGAAAAUUGUUGGGGAACGUAGUCAUUUCAAAAAAAAUCCUACGCACACGCAAGAUCAUGGUGAUGCAUAGCAAUGAGAGGGGAGAGCAUCGUCCACCUACCCUCGUAGACCGUAAGCGGAAGCGUUAUGACAACGCGGUUGAUGUAGUCGUACAUCUAUAUGAUCGACCGAUCCUAGUACCGAACGUACGGCACCUCCGCAAUCUGCACACGUUCAGCUCGGUGACGUCCCAUGAACUCACGAUCGAGUAGAUCUUCAAGGGAGAGUUCCGUCAGCACGACGGCGUGAUGACGGUGUUGAUGAAGCUACCGACGCAGGGCUUCGCUUAUGCACUACUAUGAUAUGACCGAGGUGGAUUAUGGUGGAGGGGGCACCGCACACGGCUAAAGAUCAAUGAUCAACUUGUGUGUCUUGGGGUGCCCCCUGCCCCCGUAUAUAAAGGAGAAAGGGGGGAGGCGGCCGGCCAAGGAGGAGGGCGCGCCAAGGGGGGAGUCCUACUUAGGACUCCUCUUUCCUAUUAGGAGUAGGAGAAGGGGGAAAGGAAGGAGAGGAGGAGAAGGAAGGACGGGGCACCGCCCCUUCCCCUAGUCCAAUUCAGACUAGGCUUGGGGGGGGGGGCGGCCCAGCCCUAGCCAGCCCCUCUCUCUCCCUCUCUCUCCCUGAAGCCCAUUAACGCCCAUAAGAUCCCCGGGGGGUUCCGGUAACCUCUCGGUACUGUGGUAUUUAUCCGGUGUCCGAAUAUAACCUUCCAAUAUAUCAAUCUUUAUGUCUCGACCAUUUUAAGACUCCUCGUCAUGUCCGUGAUCAUAUCUGGGACUCCGAACUACCUUCGGUACAUCAAAACACAUAAACUCAUAAUACCGAUCGUCACCGAACGUUAAGCGUGCGGACCCUAUGGGUCCGAGAACUAUGUAGACAUGACCGAGACACGUCUCCGGGUUUAACCAAUAGCGGAACCUGGAUGCUCAUAUUGGCUCCUACAUAUGUUGGGGAACGUUGCAUAAAAUAAACUUUUUCCUAUGUUCACCAAGAUCAAUCUAUGAGUUCAUCUAGCAACGAGAGAGGGGAGUGCAUCUACAUACCCUUGUAGAUCACGAGCGGAAGCGUUCAAGAGAACGGGGUUGAGGGAGUCGUACUCGUCGUGAUCCAAAUCACCGGAGAUCCUAGCGCCGAACGAAUGGCACCUCCGCGUUCAACACACGUACGGUUAGCGUGACGUCUCCUCCUUCUUGAUCCAGCAAGGGGGAAGGAGAGGUUGAUGAAGAUCCAGCAGCACGACGACGCGGUGGAGGAUGCAGCAGAGUUCCGGCAGGGCUUCGCCAAGCGACUACGGGAGGAGGAGGUGUAGCAAGGGGGGAGGGAGGCGCCAAGACUUCAGGGUGCAGCUGCCCUCCCCUCCCCCUCCUUUAUAUAGGCCCCCUGGAGGGUGGCGCCGGCCCUGGAGAUGGGAUCUCCCAAGGGGGCGGCGGCUAGGGGGGUGGAGUGCCCCCCAAGGCAAGUGGAGGCGCCCCCCCCCCCCACCCUAGGGUUUCCAACCCUAGGCGCAGGGGGGCCCAAGGGGGUCGCACCAGCCCACCAGGGGCUGGUCCCCUCCCCACUUCAGCCCACGGGGCCCUCCGGGAUAGGUGGCCCCACCCGGUGGACCCCCGGGACCCUUCCGGUGGUCCCGGUACAAUACCGGUGACCCCCGAAACUCUCCCGAUCACCGAAACUGCACUUCCUAUAUAUAAUUCUUUAUCUUCGGACCAUUCCGGAACUCCUCGUGACGUCCGGGAUCUCAUCCGGGACUCCGAACAACUUUCGGUUUGCUGCAUACUCAUAUCUCUACAACCCUAGUGUCACCGAACCUUAAGUGUGUAGACCCUACGGGUUCGGGAGACACAUAGACAUGACCUAGAUGGCUCUCCGGUCAAUAACCAACAGCGGGAUCUGGAUACCCAUGUUGGCUCCCACAUGCUCCUCGAUGAUCUCAUCGGAUGAACCAUGAUGUUGAGGAUUCAAGCAACCCCGUAUUCAAUUCCCUUUGUCAAUCGGUAUUUUACUUGCCUGAGAUUCGAUCAUCGGUAUCCCAAUACCUCGUUCAAUCUCGUUACCGGCAAGUCACUUUACUCGUACCGUAAUGCAUGAUCCUGUGACCAGACACUUGGUCACUUUGAGCUCAUUAUGAUGAUGCACUACCGAGUGGGCCCAGAGAUACCUCUCCGUCAUACGGAGUGACAAAUCCCAGUCUCGAUCCGUGUCAACCCAACAGACACUUUCAGAGAUACCUGUAGUGCACCUUUAUAGUCACCCAGUUACGUUGUGACGUUUGGUACACCCAAAGCACUCCUACGGUAUCCGGGAGUUACACGAUCUCAUGGUCUAAGGAGAAGAUACUUGACAUUGGAAAAGCUCUAGCAAACGAACUACACGAUCUUGUGCUAUGCUUAUGAUUGGGUCUUGUCCAUCACAUCAUUCUCCUAAUGAUGUGAUCCCGUUAUCAAUGACAUCUAAUGUCCAUAGUCAGGAAACCAUGACUAUCUAUUGAUCAACGAGCUAGUCAACUAGAUGCUCACUAGGGACAUAUUAUGGUCUAUGUAUUCACACGUGUAUUACGAUUUCCGGAUAAUACAAUUAUAGCAUGAAUAAAGACAAUUAUCAUGAACAAGGAAAUAUAAUAAUGAUCCUUUUAUUAUUGCCUCUAGGGCAUAUUUCCAAAAGUCUCCCACUUGCACUAGAGUCAAUAAUCUACUUACAUUGUGAUGAAUCGAACACCCAUAGAGUUCUGGUGUUCAUCAUGUUUUGCUUGCGGAAGAGGUUUAGUCAACGGAUCUGCGACAUUCAGAUCCAUAUGUACUUUGCAAAUAUCUAUGUCUCCAUCUUGAACAGUUUCACGGAUGGAGUUGAAACGAUGCUUGACGUGCCUGGUCUUCUUGUGAAACCUGGGCUCCUUGGCAAGGGCAAUAGCUCCAGUGUUGUCACAGAAGAGAGUGAUUGGCCCCGACGCAUUGGGUAUGACUCCUAGGUCGGUGAUGAACUCCUUCAUCCAUAUUGAUUCAUGCGCUGCCUCCGAGGCUGCCAUGUACUCCGCUUCACAUGUAGAUCCCGCCACGACGCUCUGCUUGCAACUGCACCAGCUUACUGCUCCACGAUUCACCAUAUACACGUAUCCGGUUUGUGACUUAGAGUCAUCCACAUCUGUGUCGAAGCUAGCAUCGACGUAACCCUUUAUGACGAGCUCUUCGUCACCUCCAUAAACAAGAAACAUGUCCUUUAUCCUUUUCAGGUACUUCAGGAUAUUCUUGACCGCUAUCCAGUGUUCCUUGCCGGGAUUACUUUGGUACCUUCCUACCAAACUUACGGCAAGGUUUACAUCAGGUCUGGUGCACAGCAUGGCAUACAUAAUAGAUCCUAUGGCUGAGGCAUAGGGGAUGACACUCAUCUCUUCUUUAUCUUCUGCCGUGGUCGGGCAUUGAGCCGAGCUCAACUUCACACCUUGCAAUACAGGCAAGAACCCUUUCUUGGACUGAUCCAUUUUGAACUUCUUCAAUAUCUUAUCAAGGUAUGUGCUUUGUGAAAGACCUAUGAGGCGUCUCGAUCUACCCCUAUAGAUCUUGAUGCCUAAUAUGUAAGCAGCUUCUCCAAGGUCCUUCUUUGAAAAACACUUAUUCAAGUAGGCCUUAAUGCUGUCCAAAAGUUCUAUAUCAUUUCCCAUCAAAAGUAUGUCAUCUACAUAUAAUAUGAGAAAUGCUACAAAGCUCCCACUCACUUCCUUGUAAACGCAGGCUUCUCCAUAAGUCUGCAUAAACCCAAACGCUUUGAUCAUCUCAUCAAAGCGAAUGUUCCAACUCCGAGAUGCUUGCACCAGCCCAUAAAUGGAUCGCUGGAGCUUUCAUACCUUGUUAGCAUUCUUAGGAUCGACAAAACCCUCCGGCUGCAUCAUAUACAGUUCUUCCUUAAGAUGUCCGUUAAGGAAUGCCGUUUUGACGUCCAUCUUCCAUAUCUCAUAAUCAUAGUAUGCGGCAAUUGCUAACAUGAUUCGGACGGACUUCAGCUUCGCUACGGGAGAGAAAGUCUCAUCAUAGUCAACCCCUUGAACUUGUCGAUAACCCUUAGCGACAAGUCAAGCUUUAUAGAUGGUAACAUUACCAUCCGCGUCUGUCUUCUUCUUAAAGAUCCAUUUGUUUUCUAUCGCUCACCGAUCAUCGGGCAAGUCUGUCAAAGUCCAUACUUUGUUUUCAUCCAUGGAUUCUAUCUCCGAUUGCAUGGCUUCAAGCCAUUUGUUGGAAUCUGGGCCUGCCAUCGCUUCUUCAUAGUUCGAAGGUUCACCGUUGUCUAACAACAUGAUUUCCAGGACAGGGUUGCCAUACCACUUUGGUGUGGAACAUGUCCUUGUGGACCUAUGAAGUUCAGUAGCAACUUGAUCCGAAGUACUUUGAUCAUCAUCAUUAAUUUCCUCUCCAGUCGGUGUAGGCACCACAGCAACAUUUUCCUGAGCUGCACUACUUUCCGGUUCAAGAGGUAGUACUUCAUCGAGUUCUACUUUCCUCCCACUUACUCCUUUCGAGAGAAACUCUUUUUCCAGAAAGGAUCCGUUCUUGGCAACAAAGAUCUUGCCCUCGGAUCUUAAGUAGAAGGUAUACCCAAUGGUUUCCUUAGGGUAUCCUAUGAAGACGCAUUUUUCCGACUUGGGUUCGAGCUUUUCAGGUUGAAGUUUCUUGACAUAAGCAUCGCAUCCCCAAACUUUUAGAAACGACAGCUUAGGUUUCUUCCCAAACCAUAAUUCAUACGGUGUCGUCUCAACGGAUUAAGACGGAGCCCUGUUUAAAGUGAAUGUAGCUGUCUCUAGAGCGUAUCCCCAAAAUGAUAACAGUAAAUCGGUAAGAGACAUCAUAGAUCGCACCAUAUCCAAUAGAGUGCGAUUACGAUGUUCGGACACACCGUUACGCUGAGGUGUUCCAGGCGGCGUGAGUUGUGGAAUGAUUCCACAUUUCCUUAAGUGCGUACCAAAUUCGUGACUUAAAUAUUCUCCUCCACGAUCUGAUCGUAGGAACUUUAUCUUUCGGUCACGUUGAUUCUCUACCUCAUUCUGAAAUUCCUUAAACUUUUCAAAGGUCUCAGACUUGUGUUUCAUCAAGUAGACAUACCCAUAUCUACUCAAGUCAUCAGUGAGAGUGAAAACAUAAUGAUAUCCUCCGCGAGCCUCAACGCUCAUUGGACCACACACAUCAGUAUGUAUGAUUUCCAAUAAGUUGGUUGCUCGCUCCAUUGUUCUGGAGAACAGAGUCUUGGUCAUUUUGCCCAUGAGGCAUGGUUCGCAUGUGUCAAAUGAUUCAUAAUCGAGAGACUCUAAAAGUCCAUCAUCAUGGAGCUUCUUCAUGCGCUUGACACCAAUGUGACCAAGGUGGCAGUGCCACACGUAUGUGGGACUAUCGUUACCAACUUUACAUCUUUUGGUAUUCACACUAUGAAUAUGUGUAACAUUACGUUCGAGAUUCAUUAAGAAUAAACCAUUGACCAUCGGGGCAUGACCAUAAAAUAUAUCUCUCAUAUAAAUAGAACAACCAUUAUUCUCGGAUUUAAAUGAGUAGCCAUCUCGUAUUAAACGAGAUCCAGAUACAAUGUUCAUGCUCAAACUUGGCACUAAAUAACAAUUAUUGAGGUUUAAAACUAAUCACGUGGGUAAAUGUAGAGGCAGCGUGCCGACGGCGAUCACAUCGACCUUGGAACCAUUCCCGACGCGCAUCGUCACCUCGUCCUUCGCCAGUCUCCGCUUAUUCCACAGCUCCUACUAUGAGUUACAAAUAUGAGCAAUGGCACCGGUAUCAAAUACCCAGGAGUUACUAUGAGUACUGGUAAGGUACACAUCAAUUACAUGUAUAUCACAUAUACCUUUAGUGUUUUCGGCCUUCUUGUCCGCUAAGUAUUUGGGGCAGUUCCGCUUCCAGUGACCCUUCCCUUUGCAAUAAAAGCACUCAGUCUCAGGCUUGGGUCCAUUCUUUGACUUCUUCCCGGCAACUGGCCUACCGGGUGCGGCAACAUCCUUGUCGUCCUUCUUGAAGUUCUUCUUACCCUUCCCUUCUUGAACUUGGUGGUUUUAUUGACCAUCAACACUUGAUGUUCUUUCUUGAUUUCUACUUCUGUUGACUUUAGCAUUGAAAAUACUUCAGGAAUAGUUUUCACCAUCCCCUGCAUAUUGUAGUUCAUCACAAAGCUCUUGUAGCUUGGUGGGAGCGACUGAAGGAUUCUGUCAGUGACCGCCUUGUCCGGGAGGUUGAUGUCCAGCUGGGACAGGCAGUUGUGCAACCCAGACAUUUUGAGUAUGUGCUCACUGACAGAACUAUUUUCCUCCAUCUUACAACUAUAGAACAUGUCGGAGACUUCAUAUCUUUCGACCCGGGCAUGAGCUUGGAAAACCAGUUUCAGCUCCUUGAACAUCUCAUAUGCUCCGUGUUGGUCAAAAUGCUUUUGGAUCCUCGGUUCUAAGCUGUAAAGCAUGCCGCACUGAACGAGGGAGUAAUCAUCAGCACGUGACUGCCAAGCGUUCAUAAUGUCUUGGUUCUCUGGGAUGGGUGCAUCACCUAGUGGUCCUUCUAGGACAUAUGCUUUCUUAGCAGCUAUGAGGAUGAUCCUCAGGUUCUGGACCUAGUCCGUAUAGUUGCUUCCAUCAUCUUUCAGCUUGCUUUCUCUAGGAACGCGUUGAAGUUCAUGUUGACAUGAGCGUUGGCCAUUUGAUCUACAAGACAUUUUUGCAAAGAUUUUAGACUAAGUUCAUGAUAAUUAAGUUCAUCUAAUCAAAUUAUUUAAUGAACUCCCACUCAGAUUUGACAUCCCUCUAGUCAUCUAAGUGUUACACGAUCCGAGUCGACUAGGCCGUGUUCGAUCAUCACGUGAGACAGACUAGUCAUCAUCGGUGAACAUCUCGAUGUUGAUCGUAUCUUCCAUACGACUCAUGUUCGACCUUUCGGUCUCUGUGUUCCGAGGCCAUGUCUGUACAUGCUAGGCUCGUCAAGUUUAACCUAAGUGUUUUGCAUGUGUAAAACUGUCUUACACCCGUUGUAUGUGAACGUAGGAAUCUAUCACACCGGAUCAUCACGUGGUGCUUCGAAAUGACGAACUUUAGCAACGACGCACAGUUAGGGAGAACACUUUCUUGAAAUUAUUAUAAGGGAUCAUCUUAUUUACUACCGUCGUUCUAAGUAAACAAGAUGCAUAAACAUAAUAAACAUCACAUGCAAUUAUAUAGUAGUGACAUGAUAUGGCCAAUAUCAUAUAGCUCCUUUGAUCUCAAUCUUCGGGGCUCCAUGAUCAUCUUUGUCACCGGCAUGACACCAUGAUCUCCAUCAUCAUGAUCUCCAUCAUCGUGUCUCCAUGAAGUUGCUCGCCAACUAUUACUUCUACCACUAUGGCUAACGGUUUAGCAAUAAAGUAAAGUAAUUACAUGGCGUUAAAUCAUUGACACACAGGUCAUACAAUAAUUAAGACAACUCCUAUGGAUCCUGCCGGUUGUCAUAUUCAUCGACAUGCAAGUCGUGAUUCCUAUUACAAGAACAUGAUCUCAUACAUCACAAUAUAUCAUUCAUCAUUCAUCACAACUUUUGGCCAUAUCACAUCACAAGGCAAUUGCUGCAAAAACAAGUUAGACGUCCUCUAAUAGUUGUUGCAUCUUUUACGUCGCUGCAAUAGGGUUCUAGCAAGAACGUUUUCUUACCUACGAAAAAGCCACAACGUGAUUUGUCAACUUCUAUUUACCCUUCAUAAGGACCCUUUUCAUCGAAUCCGCUCCAACUAAAGUGGGAGAAACAGACACCCGCUAGCCACCUUAUGCAAGUAGUGCAUGUCAGUCGGUGAAACCUGUCUCAUGUAAGCGUACGUGUAAGGUCGGUCCGGGCCGCUUCAUCCCACAAUACCCUGAAGCAAAAUAAGACUAGUAGCGGUAAGAAAGUUGACAACAUCUACGCCCACAACAGAUUUGUGUUCUACUCGUGCAAUAGAGAACUACGCAUAGACCUAGCUCAUGAAGCCACUGUUGGGGAACGUUGCAUAAAAUAAAAAAUUUCCAACGUUCACCAAGAUCAAUCUAUGAGUUCAUCUAGCAACAAGAGAGGGAGUGCAUCUACAUACCCUUGUAGAUCGCGAGUGGAAGCGUACAAGAGAAUGGGGUUGAGGGAGUCAUACUCGUCGUGAUCCAAAUCACCGGAGAUUCUAGCGCCGAACGGACGGCACCUCCGCGUUCAACACACGUAUGGUCAGCGUGACGUCUCCUCCUUCUUUAUCCAGCAAGGGGAAAGGAGAGGUUGAUGAAGAUCCGGCAACACGACGGCGUGGUGGUGGAUGCAGCAGAGUUCCGGCAGGGCUUCGCCUAGUGACUACGGGAGGAGGAGGUGUAGAAAGGGGGGAGGGAGGCGCCAAGACUUCAGGGUGCGGCUGCCCUCCCCUCCCCCUCCUUUAUAUAGGCCCCUUGGGGGGGAGCCGGCCCUGGAGAUGGGAUAUCCAAAGGGGGCGGCGGCCAGGGGGGUGGAGUGCCCCCCAAGGCAAGUGGAGGCGCCCCCCCACCCUAGGGUUUCCAACCAUAGGCGCAGAGGGGGGCCAAGGGGGCACACCAGCCCACCAGGGGCUGGUCCCCUCCCCACUUCAGUCCACGGGGCCCUCCAGGAUAGGUGGCCCCACCCGGUGGACCCCCGGGACCCUUCCGGUGGUCCCGAUACAAUACCGGUGACCCCCGAAACUCUCCCGAUGGCCGAAACUGGACUUCCUAUAUAUAAUUUUAUCUUUGGACCAUUCCGGAACUCCUCGUGACGUCCGGGAUCUCAUCCGGGACUCCGAAAAACUUUCGGUUUGCUGCAUACUCAUAUCUCUACAACCCUAGUGUCACCGAACCUUAAGUGUGUAGACCCUACGGGUUCGGGAGACACGUAGACAUGACCGAGACGGCUCUUCGGUCAAUAACCAACAUCGGGAUCUGGAUACCCAUGUUGGCUCCCACAUGCUCCUCGAUGAUCUCAUCGGAUGAACCAUGAUGUCGAGGAUUCAAGCAACCCCGUAUUCAAUUCCCUUUGUCAAUCGAUAUUUUACUUGCCCGAGAUUCGAUCGUCGGUAUCCCAAUACCUCAUUCAAUCUCGUUACCGGCAAGUCACUUUAAUCGUACCAUAAUGCAUGAUCCCGUGACCAGACACUUGGUCACUUUGAGCUCAUUAUGAUGAUGCACUACCGAGUGGGCCCAGAGAUACCUCUCUGUCAUACGGAGUGACAAAUCCCAGUCUCGAUCCGUGUCAACCCAACAGACACUUUCGGAGAUACCUAUAGUGCACCUUUAUAGUCACCCAGUUACGUUAUGACCUUUGGUACACCCAAAGCUAUCAGGACCCCGACUCAAUGCCACAUCGAUCUAGCAUGUAACACCUCAUAUCACUUUGCGGCCUCACGCACGGUAUUCCCACGGGUGUCGUCUUACCUUUGCCCGGGACCGUUUGCACCUUUUGGCACACGUAUAUGAUAGUGUUGCUGGCAUCCAUAUGGUAAGGAGCCCGGGCUGACAUGGCUAGUCGUAAACCCAAAGUGGCACAGACUUACAGGGACAGGCAUCCAUGACCCAGCAUCGAACGUGUCGGUCAUCAGCAAGUGAAUCCGGGCUUUAGCACCGGGCUAGCAGGACUCCGGUAAACCGUGCUGCAGCGGGCUAACAGGACUCCGGUAUUCAUCGCAUGACAUUUCGCCGAAGGGACAGACACAGGAACGAAGAAGGCACAUGCCGGCCAGCCUAAGUGUUCCGGAGCAGUAGCAAGCUACCAUGGCUCAGUGGAAGCACUAGGAGACAUUUCCCGGUAAGAGAGGCUACUAAGGAUAAACAACUAGAUAGUCAGAUCCCACACAUACCAAGCAUUUCAAUCAUACACACAAUAUGCUCGAUAUGUGCAAAUACAACAAGGCAUCACAACAUGACUCUACAACACAAGUACUUUAUUUAAAGGCUCAGAGAGCCAUACAUAGUAUACACACAAGUACGGGUCACAUGACCCACAUUCAAGUAAUACAAGCAUACAAGCCAACAGCGGAAGUAACUUGUCUGAGUAGAGACAACUAGUAAAAUAAAAGAGGCCUGGGUAAGCCUAGCUAUACUACAUGGUCCUUCACAAGCUCAGGAUCACCACCUGGGCCUCAGUCUACUCAUCGAUGUCAACGUCUACGAAGAACCUGUCAGAAGGGGUUGUAGCAUCUUCUGUAAAAUGUAAAUUAGAGCAACAUGAGUACAAAGGUACUCAGCAAGACUUACAUCAGAUCCUACAUACAUGCACAUUAUCAAGAAGGGUUGGUGGGGUUAUUGCAGCAAGCCAGCUUCGACUCUUGGCUAAGCUAUCCUAUGAGACUCCAACUUGAAAUGGUUUUGCACACACGAGUCCACUACUCACCACUUCAAUACACAACCGAGGAUUCACCUCCGUCUUCCUACGGAAGAGCCAUCCUCGGCACUCACAAUUAUCUUGAGGCUUUUAGUAGUUUCCAUUUACUUGUCUAUGAACUGUUAUAGGCAACACAGAAGUCCUUUACCGCGGACACGGCUAUUCGAAUAGAUCAUUUAUAACCCUGCAGGGGUGUACUUCUUCAUACAUGUUUCCACCACUUAGCAUCUGCACACGACAUGUGCUCGGCAGACUUCAAGCGAAAGCGAAAGCCUAAACACUCAAGUCUCUAGUCCAGGUUUAUCGCCUAUUCAGGUUCCAUCCGCAGGGAGUCCGUCCGAGGUUUCCACAUACGGCCCCGAACGAUGUGUAUAGGGUUCCGUGACACCAAACAGGCGCCCGGUAUACCCGGCCACGUGCCUACCGCAUCACAGCCCACCCCUUCGAUCAGCGUUGCGCACGACCUCCAGCAUACUACAAACACCAGAAACUACUUGCAACUCCUGGACAGAGGACAAGGGUGAUUAAGAAGUCGAGCAGGGUCAUAUUUCAGGGCCCAAUGCAUGGUAGUAGCUGAACCAUGGAUCACAAACACAGAACUCAGUUCCUGAGGACGGCUUCAAUGAGACAAUCCACCAUGUACUCCUACAUGGCCUCUCAUAGCUACCUUUACCAAAUCCUGUUCACACACUUAGCUCACACUCAGUAGAAUAUGUUCACGCACCUCUGAUUCAUCCCCGAUGAAUCAGACCUGACUCAACUCUAAGCAAUAGCAGGCAUGACAAACAAACAUGAAUGAGUAGGCACAACAGGGCUCAAACAACUCCUACUCAUGCUAGUGGGUUUCAUCUAUUUACUGUGGCAAUGAUAGGUCCUGCAGAGGAUAAAGGGGUUCAGCUACCGCAGCAAGUAACAGAUGAAUCAUUGCUGUCCUAAUGCAGUAAAAGAGAGCAGGAGCGAGAGAGUAGGAUUGUAUCGAAAUGAACAAGGGGGUUUUGCUUGCCUGGCACUUCUGAAGAUAGUAUACUUCUUCAUCGGUGUCAGCGAUCACAACGUCGGUACAACGUCUACCGAGGGGGAACAACACUGGCAAACAGAGAAGAAACACGAUCAAUGCAAUGCACAAUAUGAUGCCUGCUAUGACAUGGCAAUAUGAAUGUGUUUUGGGCUAAUGCAAGCUAGAACAGAUUGAGAUGAGUCCAUUUGAACCAAAGAUUCAAAUGCAAACCCAUUUUAAGAGGUCAUAAUAGUGUAUUAACUUGUUUCACCUAAACAGCAAGGUUAAUGUGUUCUAACAUGCAUGAAACCAGUGCAGAUGGAUAGAUUGGAUUUUUUUGAUCAUUUUUCAUAUAUAAAUUAUUUCAUUCUAAGUUACGGUUAAAUUUCUAUGAAUUUUAGAAGUUUAGAGCAUUUUCUGGAAUUUCCUGUAUAAAAAUAAAUCUAGAAAAUACUUAUUGCGUCAGCAUUGCGUCACUCUGACGUCAGCAGUCAACGAGGCCGGUCCAGGUCAAACCUGACGUGUGGGGUCCACACAUCAGUGACACGGUUAACCAACAGGGUUAAUUAAAAUUAAACUAAACCUAAUCUAGUUUAGUUAAGGCCUGGGCCCACAUGUCAGAGGCUAACCUAACUAACUAAGUUAAUUACCGCUCAUUAAUCUAUCGCUUAAUUAAGCAGGGGCCUGGCCCACACGUCAAUGAGUCAGGGGGAAGUCAAACCCCGGUCAAACCCGCCGGACCUGGUCCACGGCUCGUCGCCGGCGACGACAGAGACAACGAGGCGGCUCGGGAAUGCUCUACAGGGCACCGUUUUACUCGUGGUUUGCGGCUACGGCUAGCUAGCAAUGCGGCGCAUCUAAUGGAGCGAAUGGGUGGAGCUGGGGUGGCCUGAGCCGACGGCGGCGAGCUCCAAGGCGGCGGCCGGAGUUCGGGCAAUGACGGGUUUGGCGCCACAGUGCAUGGGAGGAGGAGCUGGUGGGCGCUACGGGCUCUUGGGGGUGCACUGGGUGUAGUGACGCGCUCGGUUUGGACGGAGGUGAACUAAAAUGACGACAGCGACAAGUCUGGCACCAGUGAGGUUUCGGUCUCGACGGAAACGAGGGCUACGAUGAGCUAAUGGACAUGUGAGUAGGGGGGUCAGUAAAGGAGCUUACGGCGAGUGCAGAGGUGGCCUCGGCGUGCUCGGGGAAGCACUGGAGCGAGCGGUGCGGCGAGAGGGAUCUCCGGCGGCCGGUGACGAAGAUGAUCAAGAUGGCGUCAAUCCAGGGCCUCCGGCGAUGCGUGGCUAGACGGAGAGGACGAGGGAGGCGUGGCGAUGCUCGUGGACACGUCGGAGAGGCUCGGGGUUGGCUGCGGCUGCGGCUAUGGCGAACGGCGGCGGCGGUGGCGUUCGGUGGUGAGAGGGAGAGAGAGUAGAGGAGGGGGAGGAGCAUGGGGAGAGUGAGAGAGAGCCACAGGGGUUGCGUGUCGACGUCCAUGGCAUCCAGAGGGACGUCGGGAGGCGGUGGAAAGCUGGAGGUGGCCGAGGGGCGUGGGCGUGAAUGGCGGCCACACGCCUCUCAUCCUACUGGCGAGAGGUGGGAGAUGACUGGCAGAUGGGCCUGGUGGGCUGCUACAGUGCCAGGCCGGCCAGGUAAGCGCCAGGUAUUCUCUCUCUCUCUCUCUUUUGUUAAUGUUUUUCUAUUUUUCUGUAACUUCAGGGCUUUAUUAAAAAUGCCAGGGCAUUUCCAAAAAUCAUGAAACUAAUCAUGGCUACUGUUUAGAAUAUAUCCAACAGUAAACAUUUUAGUUUAUGAUUAUUUGAGCAUUUAAAAUAUUUUAUAGCACUUAAAUGCCCAAAUGCAAAUACUAUAGGAUUUAAUUUAGAAAUCCAGAAUGGCCUAGAAAUAUGUGCAUGACAUUUGGCAGAGGUUUUCACCUUUGACCGAAAUCAUGAACUUUUCUAAAGGGCAUUUGGGAUCACUAAAAAUAUUAUUUUUUUGAACCUAGUUGAAUUCAUUUGGUGCUAGGGUUUCAACAAUCCCCAUUUCAAGUUUCAUGAAAUUUAAACAUGAUGCAUGGAUGCAAAGUCACUAGUUACGAGCAAACUCUAGGGCUGUGAUAACUCACCCCCACUAAACAAGAAUCUCGUCUUGAGAUUCAAGACGUGAGGUAAGAAGACAAAGGGGGCACAAAACCAACACAAUCUUCAUGAUCCAGGUUGCACCUCAUAAGGUUGUUGAUUCGUUGCAUACAUUGAUCUUGACAUCCUCGCUUUUGAGAUCUUCAUCCAUGCGAUGACGACGGAAAGGAACUCUACUAGGAUUGAUCUUCUCAAAGACCGAAUUAUACAAUCUCAACUCGCGGAGUGAGAUGUUGAAACACCUUGAGUUGAGACACAAAACACAUCGAGAGGGAUGGAAGAACAAACGACGGGGUUUGAUUUGGUGGGAAACAAUUCCACGCUUAGAAAGAUGGUGGAUGGUGUCAAGGUGGCGAGGAAAUAAUUGCCAUGAUCCCGUAACGGGGCACCUUAGGGAAGGUGACUCGUAGGUUUGUUACCUUAAGUGGCAAAAGGAAUUAUUUUUGAUUCAGAGAUCAUUGAAACUCUUUAUACCAGCCUAAGGCAAUUCACAACAAUCGUUUGGCAGAGUACAAAGGGAUGGCAUACCCGGACUAGAAUGGAUGAUGUGGACUACCUUGUUGAAGACAACGUAAUGAAUGCUUUUUGCUUAUCAUCGGAGGUGGAGGGGACCCAUGGUAGGACCACUUCUAAAGAUGAUCCUGAACAACAAUUGCUGAGAAGGGCAGUCCAAGGAGGAUUGGCACAAGGCGGUGCAAGCUGGGAACGAAAUGCAAAUGUCGGGAAUGUUCCAACCAUCAUAUCUGCCUGAGAUUCAGAUUUGGUUGGUGUUAGGACAUUCCAGACUCAUCAAGUCUAGGAAGAAAAAUGAAAGUUUGCAACACAAAUCGAUGAGAUGACGUCGCGAGAUUCUCGGGAGAUAAACUACGAUAGCAAGCUCCAAAACAUGAGCUGGUUCUGCUAAACAUGUGUGAACACGCUGUCCCAGACAAACAUGACCACAUAGUAGUCUUAAUAUAAAACACUACCGAGUUCAGGUGGGGAACCAUCAUUGCGGAUAACGAAGUCCUUGCAUAAGUCAUGAUUCUUAAGAAGGAGCUUCUUCUCCCUGAACAAAUCAAUCAGUGGCUUGGUGUGCUAGGGAUACGUAAGCAAUGAAGAUGAUCAGUCUAUCAGACCAUAGAAUACUUCGCACAUGCAUGACUGACUUGGGAUGAUCCCGGAGGGAACAAAACUAACUUUCUCAAAUUCACGGCGGCAACUUGCACCUAAUGCGCGUGAACUUGGAGAGAGUCACUUCUUACAUCCAAGCAUAUUCUUCAUGAACGAAACACGAAGAUAAUGCUUAUAUAGUUUCCAAUACUAGCUGAAGGUUCAACACGAAUCAUGGAAGAGAUAAAAAUGUUGCUGAUGGGCUCAACAACAAUUCAUCUAGGUUUCCAUAUAAGUGGAAUUCCACAAUUAUGUGAACAAGGCGAUAGCAUCGGUCAGACCAAAGGAUAUAACGGUGUAUGCCCGAGGAAACAACCACGGGUAAGACAACAUUACGAAUAUCGUUGGUUCUGAUUUGACUUGACAAUAGCCCAUGCUCAAAUCAGAGAUUGGUUACGAUAAUAGAUCCAACAACUGAUCACAGGGACCAAUCGAUGAAGAUAUCAUCUUUCUUCAACAUACAUACAAGAUAUCACUUAACAUGAACUAAGUCGGACAAGCUUUUAUCUUCCAACUCUCCAAGUUGAUGUAUAGCUUAACCAACUAGCUCAGGGGUAUCCAACACGGAUUCUUGGAGAAAGGGUGGUUUACAAGAAUAAACCAACUUGAUCAUGAACUCAACAUAGCGGUCAGGUGACGACCUAGUGAUACUUCCGAGAAGAUAAUCAGAAAAUCAGGAACCACCGGUAUGUUACUAAGCUCGAGAGAAAUCUUGCUUUUCAGGGCAAGACGAUAUGAUCAAAUGAGCAAGGGAUUGACAAAAUCCUAACUCAACGACCGAAGAGUGCACCGGAAAUAGGGACUAGAUAGCACAAUCAACCUUAGGGUGACGAUUCAAUAAUCAACACGCUAAGAAUGAGGUUAGCGUCCAUUUAACUACCAAGCAACGGAGUUGCUAGCAGUAUUGAUUUCACACACCAUGAUUCACUUGUCAGUAUUCCGGUUGCAACAACACGGAACCGAGGAGCGAAUGAUGAUGGCAAGAAGUAUCACUACUUCAAGAAUCCAUAAGGGAAGGUGCAAUUCUCAUGACGUUCCUGACAUAAAGUGGGUAAUACUUCAGGGUAGAACAGAACAAAAGCUGAAUUAGUAUUUGAUCUGCGAUUUACAACUGCUUUGACCCGAUCCUGGAUAUGGAUGAGGUACGGGAGUUUGUUUCUCCUAGUCAUUCUAGAAUAGAAUGGCUUGACAUACCACUAGAGUAAUAGGCAUCAAUGAACGAAUGCACGCAUACUCUUGACUAUCAAUUGAUAGAUGGGGUCGGAAUACAACUAAGGAGGGACAACCCAAACGAACUUACGAUCUUCUGAGUUGUGGAUGCACAUAUUAGUAUGUCGAGCAAAGAUCAACAUUUUUCUUCCGGAUAACCCAUGCGGAGAAGGUAGGACUGGCAGAUUCACAAUAUAGAAUCGAGAACGCAUCAAGAGCACUCUGGUUGUGAUCUUUCGGUUAAACGAGGAACUUCUGCCAUAAGUAGUUCAUGGUAUUUGGAAGAAGGAAAUACCACGGACCUCGAGGACUAAUGCAAAGGUUACUAAUUUCCUAAAGGAACUAGCAAACACUAUCAUCAUGAGUAAGUGGGGUGAAUCUCGGUUCAAGAACCCAGGAAUAGAAUACCUACUACUAAGUGGCAUCACGGGAUGCUUUCGAGAAUAAAGGCCAGAAUUAUCACACCGGGAACAAAUCAUGGCUAGAUUACUAGAUGAUCCCCUAGGACACCUAGGGUCAUAAUAAUAAUUCCAACAUAUAUGUCGAGGCAAUAGAAUACUUCAACUCAGCAAUUAGUGUGAUUAACCUGGCUCAAAGGAACAUCAAAACCAGAGGGAAAUGAUUUGCAAGUGCAUCAGAUUGUUUAGAAACCUGGGAUGACUCGGACAACAUAACGGCUGUAAAUGCUCAAAAGGAAUUUUGAGACAUUUUGCAAAGAGUUGCAUAGACACUCAACAAUAUCAUAUCAAGGUUCUGGGUCCAACUUAGCAACAUAAUAGGGUAGUAGAACUGAACUAGGCUUAUAAUCAUCAAACCAAUAAGGUACUACUGAUUAGUAACACGUGAACCUGAUAGAGAGAAAAGAUCCUAAUCCUUAACCCCCGGUGGAAGAAUGGACUGACUCAGAUCAGAAUGCCAUGAGGUAAAGAAGUAAAAAGAGCCUUACGUACCAUCCCACAAUCAAUUCCCCUACAUAUAACUAAAGCAUUUCUAGACUCAACAUCGACCAGUUUGGCUUGGUAAUCCUACAGGCAGUCAGGCUCUUAUACCAAAGCUGUCAGGUCCUGAACGAUGUGUACAGGGUUCCGUGACACCAAACGGGCGCCCGGUAUACCCGGCCACGUGCCUACCGCAUCACAGCCCACCCCUCCGGUCAGCGUUGCGCACGGCCUCCAGCAUACUACAAACACCAGAAACUACUUGCAACUCCUGGACAGAGGACAAGGGUGAUUAAGAAGUCGAGCGGGGUCAUAUUUCAGGGCCCAAUGCAUGGUAGUAGCUGAAUCAUGGAUCACAAACACAUAACUCAGUUCCUGAGGGCGGCUUCAAUGAGACAACCCACCAUGUACUCCUACAUGGACUCUCACCGCUACCUUUACCAAAUCGUGUUCACACACUUAGCUCACACUCAGUAGAAUAUGUUCACGCACCUCUGAUUCAUCCCCGGUGAAUCCGACUUAACUCAACUCUAAGCAAUAGCAGGCAUGACAAACAAACAUGAAUGAGUAGGCACAACAGGGCUCAAACAACUCCUACUCAUGCUAGUGGGUUUCAUCAAUUUACUAUGGCAAUGACAGGUCAUGCAGAGGAUAAAGGGGUUCAGCUACCGCAGCAAGUAAUAGAUGAAUCGUUGUUGUCCUAAUGCAGUGAAAGAGAACAGGAGCGAUAGAGUAGCAUUGUAUCGGAAUGAACAAGGGGGUUUUGCUUGCCUAGCACUUCUGAAGAUAGUAUACUUCUUCAUCGGUGUCAUCGAUCACAACAUCGGUACAACGUCUACCGAGGGGGAACAACACCGGCAAACAGAGAAGCAACAUGAUCAAUGCAAUGCACAAUAUGAUGCAUGCUAUGACAUGGCAAUAUGAAUGUGUUUUGGGCUAAUGCAAGCUAGAACAGAUUGAGAUGAGUCCAUUUGAACCAAAGAUUCAAAUGCAAACCCAUUUUAAGAGGUCAUAAUAGUGUAUUAACUUGUUUCACCUAAACAGCAAGGUUAAUGUGUUCUAACAUGCAUGAAACCAGUGCAGAUGGAUAGAUUGGAUUUGUUUGAUCAUUUUUCAUAUAUAAAUUAUUUCAUUCUGAGUUACGGUUAAAUUUCUAUGAAUUUUAGAAGUUUAGAGCAUUUUCUGGAAUUUCCUGUAUAAAAAUAAAUCCAGAAAAUACUUAUUGCGUCAGCAUUGCAUCGCUCUGACGUCAACAGUGAACGAGGCCAGUCCAGGUCAAACCUGACGUGUGGGGUCCACACGUCAGUGACACGGUUAACCAACAGGGUUAAUUAAAAUUAAACUAAACCUAAUCUAGUUUAGUUAAGGCCUGGGCCAACAUGUCAGAGGCUAACCUAACUAAGUUAAUUACAGCUAAUUAAUCUAUCGCUUAAUUAAGCAGGGGCCUGGCCCACACGUCAGUGAGUCAGGGGGAAGUCAAACCCCGGUCAAACGGGGUCAAACCCGCCGGACCUGGUCCACGGCUCAUCGCCGGCGACGACAGAGACGAUGGGGCGGCUCGUGAAUGCUCUACAGGGCACCGUUUUACUCAUGGUUUGUGGCUACGGCUAGCUAGCAAUGCGGCGCAUCUAAUUGAGCGAACGGGAGGAGCUAGGGUGUCCUGAGCCGACGGCGGCGAGCUCCAAGGCGGCGGCCGGAGUUCGGGCAACGACGGGUUCGGUGCCAUAGUGCAUGGGAGGAGGAGCCGGUGGGCGCUACGGGCUCCUGGGGGUGCACUGGGUGUAGUGACGCGCUCGGUUUGGACGGAGGCGAACUAAAAUGACGACGGCAACAAGUCCGGCGCCGGUGAGGUUUCGGUCUCGACGGAAACGAGGGCUACGAUGAGCUAAUGGACAUGUGAGUAGGGGGGUUAGUAGAGGAGCUUACGACGAGUGCAUAGGUGGCCUAGGCGUGCUCGGGGAAGCACCGGAGCGAGCGGUGCAGCGAGAGGGAUCUCCGGCAGCCGGCGACGAAGAUGAUGAAGAUGGCGUCGAUCCAGGGCCUCCGGCGAUGCGUUGCUGUGCGGAGAGGACUAGGGAGGCGUGGCGAUGCUCGUGGACACGUCGGAGAGGCUCGGAGUUGGCUGCGGCUGCGGCUAUGGCGAACGGCGGCGGCGGUGGCGUUCGGUGGUGAGAGGGAGAGAGAGUAGAGGAGGGGGAGGAGCAUGGGGAGAGUGAGAGAGAGCCACAGGGGUUGCGUGUCGACGUCCAGGGCAUCCAGAGCGACGUCGGGAGGCGGUGGAAAGCUGGAGGUGGCCGAGGCGCGUGGGCGUGAAUGGCGGCCACACGCCUCUCGUCCUACUGGCGAGAGGUGGGAGAUGACUGGCAGAUGGGCCUGGUGGGCUGCUACAGUGCCAGGCCGGCCAGGUAAGCGCCAGAUAUUCUCUCUCUCUCUUUUGUUAAUGUUUUUUUAUUUUUCUGUAACUUCAGGGCUUUAUUAAGAAUGCCAGGGCAUUUCCAAAAAUCAUGAAACUAAUCAUGGCUACUGUUUAGAAUAUAUCCAACAGUAAACAUUUUAGUUUAUGAUUAUUUGAGCAUUUAAAAUAUUUUAUAGCACUUAAAUGCCCAAAUGCAAAUACUAUAGGAUUUAAUUUAGAAAUCCAGAAUGGCCUAGAAAUAUGUGCAUGACAUUUGGCAGAGGUUUUCACCGUUGACAGAAAUCAUGAAAUUUUCUAAAGGGCAUUUGGGAUCACUGAAAAUAUAUAUUUUUUGAACCUAGUUGAAUUCAUUUGGUGCUAGGGUUUCAACAAUCCCCAUUUCAAGUUUCAUGAAAUUUAAACAUGAUGCAUGGAUGCAAAGCCACUAGUUACAAGCAAACUCUGGGGCUAUGACAAAAGCACUCCUACGGUAUCGGUAUCCGGGAGUUACACGAUCUCAUGGUCUAAGGAGAAGAUACUUGACACUGGAAAAGCUCUAGCAAACGAACUACACGAUCUUGUGCUAUGCUUAGGAUUGGGUCUUGUCCAUCACAUCAUUUUCCUAAUGAUGUGAUCCCGUUAUCAACGACAUCUAAUGUCCAUAGUCAGGAAACCAUGACUAUCUGUUGAUCAACGAGCUAGUCAACUAGAGGCUCACUAGGGACAUAUUAUGGUCUAUGUAUUCACACGUGUAUUACGAUUUCCGGAUAAUACAAUUAUAGCAUGAAUAAAGACAAUUAUCAUGAACAAGGAAAUAUAAUAAUAAUCCUUUUAUUAUUGCCUCUAGGGCAUAUUUCCAACAACAUAUUCUACGAAGAUCUUUAUCGGUCAAACCACAUAACAACAUAGGUUCUUCCCUUUGUCAUCGGUAUGUUACUUGCCUGAGAUUCGAUCGUCGGUAUCUCAAUACCUAGUUCAAUCUCGUUACCGGCAAGUAUGUUUACUCAUUCCAUAAUGCAUGAUCCCGCAACUAACUCAUUAGUCACAUUGCUUGCAAGGCUUAUAGUGAUGUGCAUUACCGAGAGGGCCCAGUGAUACCUCUCCGACAAUCGGAGUGACAAAUCCUAACCUCGAUCUAUGCCAACUCAACAAGUACCAUCGGAGACACCUGUAGAGCACCUUUAUAAUCCCCCAGUUACGUUGUGACGUUUGGUAGCACACAAAGUGUUCCUCUGGUAUUUGGGAGUUGCAUAAUCUCAUAGUCAUAGGAACACGUAUAAGUCAUGAAGAAAGCAAUAGCAACAAACUAAACGAUCAAGUGCUAAGCUAACGAAAUGGGUCAAGUCAAUCACAUCAUUCUCUAAUGAUGUGAUCCCGUUAAUCAAAUGACAACUGUCUAUGGUUAGGAAACACAACCAUCUUUGAUUCAACGAGCUAGUCAAGUAGAGGCAUACUAGUGACACUUUGUUUGUCUAUGUAUUCACACAUGUACUAAGUUUCCGGUUAGUACUAUUCUAGCAUGAAUAAUAAACAUUUAUCAUGAUAUAUGGAAAUAUAAAUAACAACUUUAUUAUUGCCUCUAGGGCAUAUUUCCUUCAAAAUUUAGAGAUGACAAACAAAGCUUAAGUAGCAUCUGUUCUACUUGAUUGUAGAAAUUUCUUUUACCUGUAGAAUAACUCGGUUGUUAUUUCUUUAAACAUGAAGUGUGAUAUUAACUUAUCUCAAUCUAGGAACACAAAGCAAAUAUUACAUGUGCUUCUAUGGACUCCAAGCAGAUGAGAAAUCAUUUUGUCUAGAAGUUCCUUAGAAGGAUAUAAUAGUUUUGACCUAAACAAAUUUACUAUUGUACUCGUGUCUUACAAAGUUAAAGCUGAAAAUCAACAUAACCAUUGGACCCUUUGAAAGACAAGUGUAGGAAAUAAAUAGUAGGAUAUAAAUUUGAGCAGAAUGUUUGAUCAAAUACUGAACAAAUAACCCAGCAAACUACUAAAACUCGUCUAUUCUACCUUAUAUGAACUGUCACGAUGAUAAAGCUAUGAUUUUUUUUGGCAAAUAAGUAUCCUAGAACUAAUACAAGUUCAAACAAAUCAGCCACAGAUCCCCGAGCCCAUCCAACCAGAUAGCUGAAACUGAAAGAAGCAUUAGCUCGAUUAGAGCACCUACAGCGGAACUUGACAAAUUUGACCCCUGAAACGCCCGCGGACACGCGUGUUAGUAGACAUAAACCAAUCUUUAAGCAGAGCACGUCCGGCAGUCGGAUGCUCCCCAAAGUGUUGGUCCAGUCGCCGGCAAGGUAGAGUAGGGCAUGGGAUACAAGGCGGCUCACGGGACUCGAGGCGCCACCGUCCCCCAUUCCCAACUCUUCUCAGUCGGAACCCGGACAGUGCCGGUGGACGUCAGAUCGAUGAUGGAUCCUUCCUGGGACGAGCCAGCAACAUCCACCACCACGUGGUUGUGCAGCCCGAACUAGUGCACAAUAUGGGGAGCCGGAAAAUACGACUCCGCCUCCGCAACGCCCACCACCGCGAGGGCUGUCGCUGCCUCCCGCACCCGCUGCAUUGCAUGGCAGGAGCGCCGAACUAUGUUUUGCAUCGGGCGACGCCCAUGGUGCGUCCAUGGCCUCAGUGCGCCAAUGGAGGGGCUGCGCGUCCGCCACCCAUUCAAACGCCAGAUGGACCGCACCACCUUUGUGUUGGAAAUAUGCCCUAGAGGAAAUAAUAAAAGGAUUAUUAUUGUAUUUCCUUGUUCAUGAUAAUUAUCUUUAUUCAUGCUAUAAUUGUAUUAUCCAGAAAUCGUAAUAGACGUGUGAAUACAUAGACCAUAAUAUGUCCCUAGUGAGCCUCUAGUUGACUAGCUCGUUGAUCAACAGAUAGUCAUGGUUUCCUGACUAUGGACAUUAGAUGUCGUUGAUAAUGGGAUCACAUCAUUAAGAUAAUGAUGUGAUGGACAAGACCCAAUCCUAAGCAUAGCACAAGAUCGUGUAGUUCGUUUGCUAGAGCUUUUCCAAUGUCAAGUAUCUUCUCCUUAGACCAUGAGAUCGUGUAACUCCCGGAUACCGUAGGAGUCCUUUGGGUGUACCAAACGUCACAACGUAACUGGGUGACUAUAAAGGUGCACUACAGGUAUCUCCGAAAGUGUUUGUUGGGUUGACACCGAUCGAGACUGGGAUUUGUCACUCCGUAUGACGGAGAGGUAUCGCUGGGCCCACUCGGUAGUGCAUCAUCAUAAUGAGCUCAAAGUGACCAAGUGUCUGGUCACGGGAUCAUGCAUUACGGUACGAGUAAAGUGAAUUGCCGGUAACGAGAUUGAACGAGGUAUUGGGAUACCGACGAUCGAAUCUCGGGCAAUUAAAAUACCGAUUGACAAAGGGAAUUGAAUACGUGGUUGCUUGAAUCCUCGACAUCGUGGUUCAUCCGAUGAGAUCAUCGAGGAGCAUGUGGGAGCCAACAUGGGUAUCCAGAUCCCGCCGUUGGUUAUUGACUGGAGAGCCGUCUCAGUCAUGUCUACGUGUCUCCCGAAUCCGUAGGGUCUACACACUUAAGGUUCGGUGACGCUAGGGUUGUAGAGAUAUGAGUAUGCAGCAAACCGAAAGUUGUUCGGAGUCCCGGAUGAGAUCCCGGACAUCACGAGGAGUUCCGAAUGGUCCGGAGAUAAAGAAUUAUAUAUAGGAAGUGCAUUUUCAGCGAUCGGGAGAGUUUCGGGGGUCACCGGUAUUGUACCGGGACCACCGGAAGGGUCCCGGGGGUCCACUGGGUGGGGCCACCUAUCCCGGAGGGCCCCGUGGGCUGAAGUGGGGAGGGGACCAGCCCAUAGUGGGCUGGUGCGACCCCCUUGCCCCACCUACGCCUAGGGUUGGAAACCCUAGGGUGGGGGGCGCCUCCACUUGCCUUGGGGGGCACUCCACCCCCCUGGCCGCCGCCCCCUUGGGAGAUCCCAUCUCCAGGGCCGGCGCCCCCCCAGGGGGCCUAUAUAAAGGAGGGGGAGGGGAGGGCAGCCGCACCCUGAAGUCUUGGCGCCUCCCUCCCCCCUUGCUACACCUCCUCCUCCCGUAGUCGCUUGGCGAAGCCCUGCCGGAACUCUGCUGUAUCCACCACCACGCCGUCGUGCUGCUGGAUCUUCAUCAACCUCUCCUUCCCCCUUGCUGGAUCAAGAAGGAGGAGACGUCACGCUGACCGUACGUGCGUUGAACGCGGAGGUGCCGUCCGUUCGACGCUAGGAUCUCUGGUGAUUUGGAUCACGACGAGUACGACUCCCUCAACCCCGUUCUCUUGAACGCUUCCGCUCGCGAUCUACAAGGGUAUGUAGAUGCACUCCCCUCUCUCGUUGCUAGAUGAACUCAUAGAUUGAUCUUGGUGAACGUAGGAAAUUUUUUAUUUUAUGCAACGUUCCCCAACAGUGGCAUCAUGAGCUAGGUCUAUGCGUAGUUCUCUAUUGCACGAGUAGAACACAAAUCUGUUGUGGGCGUAGAUGUUGUCAACUUUCUUGCCACUACUAGUCUUAUUUUGCUUCAGCGGUAUUGUGGGAUGAAGUGGCCCGGACCGACCUUACACGUACGCUUACGUGACACAGGUUCCACCGACUGACAUGCACUAGUUGCAUAAGGUGGCUAGCGGGUGUCUGUCUCUCCCACUUUAGUUGGAGCGGAUUCGAUGAAAAGGGUCCUUAUGAAGGGUAAAUAGAAGUUGACAACUCACGUUGUGGCUUUUUUGUUGGUAAGAAAACAUUCUUGCUAGAACCCUAUUGCAGCCACGUAAAAGAUGCAACAACAAUUAGAGGACGUCUAACUUGUUUUUGAAGCAAUUGCCUUGUGAUGUGAUAUGGCCAAAAGUUGUGAUGAAUGAUGAAUGAUAUAUUGUGAUGUAUGAGAUCAUGUUCUUGUAAUAGGAAUCACGACUUGCAUGUCGAUGAGUAUGAAAACCGGCAGGAGCCAUAGGAGUGGUCUUAAUUAUUGUAUGACCUGCGUGUCAAUGAUUUAACGCCAUGUAAUUACUUUACUUUAUUGCUAAACCGUUAGCCAUAGUAGUAGAAGUAAUAGUUGGCGAGCAACUUCAUGGAGGCACGAUGAUGGAGAUCAUGAUGAUGGAGAUCAUGGUGUCAUGCCGGUGACAAAGAUGAUCAUGGAGCCCCGAAGAUGGAGAUCAAAGGAGCUAUAUGAUAUUGGCCAUAUCAUGUCACUACUAUAUAAUUGCAUGUGAUGUUUAUUAUGUUUAUGCAUCUUCUUUACUUAGAACGACUGUAGUAAAUAAGAUGAUCCCUUAUAAUAAUUUCAAGAAAGUGUUCUCCCUAACUGUGCGUCGUUGCUAAAGUUCGUCGUUUCGAAGCACCACGUGAUGAUCGGGUGUGAUAGAUUCCUACGUUCACAUACAACGGGUGUAAGACAGUUUUACACAUGCAAAACACUUAGGUUAAACUUGACGAGCCUAGCAUGUAUAUACAUGGCCUCAGAACACAGAGACCGAAAGGUCGAACAUGAGUCAUAUGGAAGAUACGAUCAACAUGGAGAUGUUCACCAAUGAUGACUAGUCCGUCUCACGUGAUGAUCGGACACGUCCUAGUCGACUCGGAUCGUGUAACACUUAGAUGACUAGAGGGAUGUCAAAUCUGAGUGGGAGUUCACUAAAUUAGAUGAACUUAAUUAUCAUGAACUUAGUCUAAAAUCUUUGCAAAAAUGUCUUGUAGAUCAAAUGGCCAACGCUCAUGUCAACAUGAACUUCAACGAGUUCCUAGAGAAAACCAAGCUGAAAGAUGAUGGCAGCAACUAUAUGGACUGGGUCCAGAACCUGAGGAUCAUCCUCAUAGCUUCCAAGAAAGCAUAUGUCCUAGAAGGACCACUAGGUGAUGCACCCAUCCCAGAGAACCAAGAUGUUAUGAACGCUUGGCAGUCACGUGCUGAUGAUUACUCCCUCGUUCAGUGCGGCAUGCUUUACAGCUUAGAACCGGGUCUCCAAAAGCGUUUUGAGAAACACGGAGCAUAUGAAAUGUUCGAGGAGCUGAAAAUGGUUUUCCAAGCUCAUGCCCGGGUCGAGAGAUAUGAAGUCUCCGACAUGUUCUAUAGUUGUAAGAUGGAGGAAAAUAGUUCUGUCAGUGAGCACAUACUCAAAAUGUCUGGGUUGCACAACUGCCUAACCCAGCUGGACAUCAACCUCCCGGACGAGGCGGUCAUUGACAGAAUCCUUCAGUCGCUCCCACCAAGCUACAAGAGAUUUGUGAUGAACUACAAUAUGCAGGGGAUGGUGAAAACUAUUCCUGAAGUAUUUUCAAUACUGAAGUCUGCAGAGGUAGAAAUCAAGAAAGAACAUCAAGUGUUGAUGGUCAAUAAAACCACCAAGUUCAAGAAGGGCAAGGGUAAGAAAAACUUCAAGACGGACGGCAAGGAUGUUGCCGCACCCGGUAGGCCAGUUGCCGGGAAGAAGUCAAAGAAUGGACCCAAGCCUGAGACUGAGUGCUUUUAUUGCAAAAGGAAGGGUCACUGGAAGCGGAACUGCCCCAAAUAGUUAGCGGACAAGAAGGCCGGCAACACUAAAGGUAUAUGUGAUAUACAUGUAAUUGAUGUGUACCUUACCAGUACUCGUAGUAACUCCUGGGUAUUUGAUACCGGUGCCGUUGCUCAUAUUUGUAACUCACAGUAGGAGCUGCGGAAUAAGCGGAGACUGGCGAAGGACGAGGUGACGAUGCGCGUCGGGAAUGGUUCCAAGGUCGAUGUGAUUGCCGUCGGCACGCUGCCUCUACAUUUACCCACGGGAUUAGUUUUAAACCUCAAUAAUUGUUAUUUAGUGCCAAGUUUGAGCAUGAACAUUGUAUCUGGAUCUCGUUUAAUACGAGAUGGCUACUCAUUUAAAUCCGAGAAUAAUGGUUGUUCUAUUUAUAUGAGAGAUAUGUUUUAUGGUCAUGCCCCGAUGGUCAAUGGUUUAUUCUUAAUGAAUCUCGAACGUAAUGUUACACAUAUUCAUAGUGUGAAUACCAAAAGAUGUAAAGUUGAUAACGAUAGUCCCACAUACUUGUGGCACUGCCGCCUUGGUCAUAUUGGUGUCAAGCGCAUGAAGAAGCUCCAUGAUGAUGGACUUUUAGAGUCUGUCGAUUAUGAAUCAUUUGACACAUGCGAACCAUGCCUCAUGGGCAAAAUGACCAAGACUCCGUUCUCCGGAACAAUGGAGCGAGCAACCAACUUAUUGGAAAUCAUACAUACUGAUGUGUGUGGUCCAAUGAGCGUUGAGGCUCGCGGAGGAUAUCAUUAUGUUCUCACUCUCACUGAUGACUUGAGUAGAUAUGGGUAUGUCUACUUGAUGAAACACAAGUCUGAGACCUUUGAAAAGUUCAAGGAAUUUCAGAAUGAGGUAGAGAAUCAACAUGACCGAAAGAUAAAGUUCCUACGAUCAGAUCGUGGAGGAGAAUAUUUAAGUCACGAAUUUGGUACGCACUUAAGGAAAUGUGGAAUCAUUCCACAACUCACGCCGCCUGGAACACCUCAGCGUAACGGUGUGUCCGAAUGUCGUAAUCGCACUCUAUUGGAUAUGGUGCGAUCUAUGAUGUCUCCUACCGAUUUACUGCUAUCAUUUUGGGGAUACGCUCUAGAGACAGCUACAUUCACUUUAAACAGGGCUCCGUCUAAAUCCGUUGAGACGACACCGUAUGAAUUAUGGUUUGGGAAGAAACCUAAGCUAUCGUCUCUAAAAGUUUGGGGAUGCGAUGCUUAUGUCAAGAAACUUCAACCUGAAAAGCUCGAACCCAAGUCGGAAAAAUGCGUCUUCAUAGGAUACCCUAAGGAAACCAUUGGGUAUACCUUCUACUUAAGAUCCGAGGGCAAGAUCUUUGUAGCCAAGAACGGAUCCUUUCUGGAAAAAGAGUUUCUCUCGAAAGGAGUAAGUGGGAGGAAAGUAGAACUCGAUGAAGUAGUACCUCUUGAACCGGAAAGUAGUGGAGCUCAGGAAAAUGUUCCUGUGGUGCCUACACCGACUAGAGAGGAAAUUAAUGAUGAUGAUCACAGUACUUUGGAUCAAGUUGCUACUGAACUUCGUAGGUCCACAGGGACACAUUCCAAACCAGAGUGGUAUGGCAACCCUGUCCUGGAAAUCAUGUUUUUAGACAACGGUGAACCUUCGAACUAUGAAGAAGCGAUGGCGGGCCCAGAUUCCAACAAAUGGCUUGAAGGCAUGCAAUCCGAGAUAGAAUCCAUGUAUGAAAACAAAGUAUGGACUUUGACAGACUUGCCCGAUGAUCAGCGAGCGAUAGGAAACAAAUGGAUCUUUAAGAAGAAGACAGACGCGGAUGGUAAUGUUACCAUCUAUAAAGCUCGACUUGUCGCUAAGGGUUAUCGGCAAGUUCAAGGGGUUGACUACGAUGAAACUUUCUCUCCCGUAGCAAAGCUGAAGUCCGUCUGAAUCAUGUUAGCAAUUGUCGCAUACUAUGAUUAUGAGUUAUGGAAGAUGGACGACAAAACGGCAUUCCUUAACGGGCAUCUUAAGGAAGAACUGUAUAUGAUGCAGCCGGAGGGUUUUGUCGAUCCUAAGAAUGAUAAUAAGGUAUGCAAGCUCCAGCAAUCCAUUUAUGGGCUGGUGCAAGCAUCUCGGAGUUGGAACAUUCGCUUUGAUGAGAUUUUCAAAGCGUUUGGGUUUAUGAAGACUUAUGGAGAAGCCUGCGUUUACAAGAAAGUGAGUGGGAGCUCUGUAGCAUUUCUCAUAUUAUAUGUAGAUGACAUACUUUUGAUGGGAAAUGAUAUAAAACUUUUGGACAGCAUUAAGGCCUACUUGAAUAAGUGUUUUUCAAUGAAGGACCUUGGAGAAGCUGCUUACAUAUUAGGCAUCAAGAUCUAUAGGGAUAGAUCGAGACGCCUCAUAGGUCUUUCACAAAGCACAUACCUUAAUAAAAUAUUGAAGAAGUUUAAAAUGGAUCAGUCCAAGAAAGGGUUCUUGCCUGUAUUGCAAGGUGUGAAGUUGAGCUUGGCUCAAUGCCCGACCACGGCAGAAGAUAAAGAAGAGAUGAGUGUCAUCCCCUAUGCCUCAACCAUAGGAUCUAUUAUGUAUGCCAUGUUGUGCACCAGACCUGAUGUAAACCUUGCCGUAAGUUUGGUAGGAAGGUACCAAAGUAAUCCCGGCAAGGAACACUGGACAGCGGUCAAGAAUAUCCCGAAGUACCACAAAAGGACAAAGGACAUGUUUCUCGUUUAUGGAGGUGACAAAGAGCUCGUCGUAAAGGGUUACGUCGAUGCUAGCUUCGACACAGAUCUGGAUGACUCUAAGUCACAAACCGGAUACGUGUAUAUGUUGAAUCGUGGAGCAGUAAGCUGGUGCAGUUGCAAGCAGAGCGUCGUGGCGGGAUCUACAUGUGAAGCGGAGUACAUGGCAGCCUCGGAGGUAGCGCAUGAAGCAAUAUGGAUGAAGGAGUUCAUCACCGACCUAGGAGUCAUACCCAAUGCGUCGGGGCCAAUCACUCUCUUCUGUGACAACACUGGAGCUAUUGCCCUUGCCAAGGAGCCCAGGUUUCACAAGAAGACCAGGCACAUCAAGCGUCGUUUCAACUCCAUUCGUGAAAAUGUUCAAGAUGGAUACAUAGAUAUUUGCAAAGUACAUACGGAUCUGAAUAUCGCAGAUCCGUUGACUAAACCUCUUCUGCGAGCAAAACAUGAUCAACACCAGAACUCUAUGGGUGUUCGAUUCAUCACAAUGUAACUAGAUUAUUGACUAUAGUGCAAGUGGGAGACUGUUGGAAAUAUGCCCUAGAGGCAAUAAUAAAAGGAUUAUUAUUAUAUUUCCUUGUUCAUGAUAAUUGUCUUUAUUCAUGCUAUAAUUGUAUUAUCCGGAAAUCGUAAUACACGUGUGAAUACAUAGACCAUAAUAUGUCCCUAGUGAGCCUCUACUUGACUAGCUCGUUGAUCAACAUAUAGUCAUGGUUUCCUGACUAUGGACAUUAGAUGUCGUUGAUAAUGGGAUCACAUCAUUAGGAGAAUGAUGUGAUGGACAAGACCCAAUCCUAAGCAUAGCACAAGAUCGUGUAGUUCGUUUGCUAGAGCUUUUCCAAUGUCAAGUAUCUUCUCCUUAGACCAUGAGAUCGUGUAACUCCCGGAUACCGUAGGAGUGCUUUGGGUGUACCAAACGUCACAACGUAACUGGGUGACUAUAAAGGUGCACUACAGGUAUCUCCGAAAGUGUAUGUUGGGUUGACACGGAUCGAGACUGGGAUUUGUCACUCCGUAUGACGUAGAGGUAUCUCUGGGUCCACUCGGUAGUGCAUCAUCAUAAUGAGCUCAAAGUGACCAAGUGUCUGGUCACGGGAUCAUGCAUUACGGUACGAGUAAAGCGACUUGCCGGUAAAGAGAUUGAACAAGGAAUUGGGAUACCGAUGAUCGAAUCUCGGGCAAGUAAAAUACCGAUUGACAAAGGGAAUUGAAUACGGGGUUGCCUGAAUCCUCGACAUCGUGGUUCAUCCGAUGAGAUCAUCGAGGAGCAUGUGGGAGCCAACAUGGGUAUCUAGAUCCCGCUGUUGGUUAUUGACCGGAGAGCCAUCUCGGUCAUGUCUACGUGUCUCCCGAACCCGUAGGGUCUACACACUUAAGGUUCGGUGACGCUAGGGUUGUAUAGAUAUGAGUAUGCAGCAAACUGAAAGUUGUUCGGAGUCCCGGAUGAGAUCCCGGACGUCACGAGGGGUUCCGGAAUGGUCCGGAGAUAAAGAAUUAUAUAUAGGAAGUGCAGUUUCGGCCAUCGGGAGAGUUUCGGGGGUCACCGGUAUUGUACCGGGACCACCGGAAGGGUCCCUGGGGUCCACCGGGUGGGGCCACCAAUCCCGGAGGGCCCCGUGGGCUGAAGUGGGGAGGGGACCAGCCCCUGGUGGGCUGGUGCGCCCCCCUUGGGCCCCCCCUCCCGCGCCUAGGGUUGGAAACCCUAGGGUGGGGGGGGCGCCUCCACUUGCCUUGGAGGGCACUCCACCCCCUGGCCGCCGUCCCCUUGGGAGAUCCCAUCUCUAGGGCCGGCUCCCCCCCAGGGGUCCUAUAUAAAGGAGGGGGAGGGGAGGGCAGCCGCACCCUGAAGUCUUGGCGCCUCCCUCCCCCCUUGCUACACCUCCUCCUCCCGUAGUCGCUUGGCGAAGCCCUGCCGGAACUCUGCUGCAUCCACCACCACGUCGUCGUGCUGCUGGAUCUUCAUCAACCUCUCCUCCCCCCUUGCUGGAUCAAGAAGGAGGAGACGUCACACUGACCGUACGUGUGUUGAACGCGGAGGUGCCGUCCGUUCGGCGCUAGGAUCUCCGGUGAUUUGGAUCAUGACGAGUACGACUCCCUCAACCCCAUUCUCUUAAACGCUUCCGCUCGCGAUCUACAAGGGUAUGUAGAUGCACUCCCCUCUCUUGUUGCUAGAUGAACUCAUAGAUUGAUCUUGGUGAACGUAGGAAAUUUUUAUUUUAUGCAACGUUCCCCAACACUUUGGUGAGGCGGUGAUGGUACACCUAGCGCCGGAUCCAUGCAUCAUUUGGGCGGACGCAUUGGAUUCCCCGCGGAAGGAGUUCGAGUGUUGCCGUUGCCAUCGGGCAGCCUCCUCCCGGGAGCGGUGGAGCGCAAGCUGGAUGGCCAGCUCCUCCUAGGAGCCGCGUGGGAUGAGUUCGGGGUUGACGGAUCUGGAGGUGUAACACUGGGAUCCGCCUCCUGCCAUGCCGAAGAAGGCCAUAAGAUCGUCGAACGGGAGCUUGGGUGGCGGCAUAGAGUGGAGUAAAGUGGCUAGGGUUUGGUCCGGCAAGCGGAUGGGGAGGAAUAUAUGUGGGGUCGGGUGGGCCAGCGUGGACCGGGACCGACAUGGCGGACGCGCCUGGGCGCCGCAUAUUCUUCCUAGAUUUGGGCUGGAUAUCAGGGGUGCUGGUUAGCUUGGGCGUUUGAGGCCCAUCUGGAUAGUUUUUCUGUGACCUGACCGUUCGUCCGGGCGUUUGAGGUGGGUUUGGGACGCCCAGGUGUAAAUGCUCUUAGACCAUGUAGUACCUUGAGGAGGAUGGUGGGUCCAUGGAACAACUACAGCCUCUCCAUUUUGUUUGGGCGCAGGGCGAUAACGGAGUUAUCUCUACUCCUAAAGAGGGAGUCGUUAGUCUCCCUUCCACGGUUUUUUUGUCUUACCUCCCAUCUUUGUUUCAUUUUUUCCGUCUCUUUUUCCACCACCGUCUGUUUUUUCUCAUCUCCACCUGGCAUGUAACGAAAAAAAAUCUGUUUCAUAGGUCGAUUGUCAAGGUCCGAGAGCCGCCGCCACCUUCAUUGCGGACCUCUAGGUCGCCGUCCGGACACACCGCCGAGGUCCGCAAUCACCGACGUUGAGGUCCGAGAGGAGCUGCCGCCCCCUUCAUUCUGGGCCUGGACGCUUCAUGGUCCUCCUACCUCUCCCUUUCCUCUCCCCUUCUCUCCCGCUUCCAUCCUCACUCGCCGCCCCUGCCUCUCNNNNNNNNNNNNNNNNNNNNNNNNNNNNNNNNNNNNNNNNNNNNNNNNNNNNNNNNNNNNNNNNNNNNNNNNNNNNNNNNNNNNNNNNNNNNNNNNNNNNNNNNNNNNNNNNNNNNNNNNNNNNNNNNNNNNNNNNNNNNNNNNNNNNNNNNNNNNNNNNNNNNNNNNNNNNNNNNNNNNNNNNNNNNNNNNNNNNNNNNNNNNNNNNNNNNNNNNNNNNNNNNNNNNNNNNNNNNNNNNNNNNNNNNNNNNNNNNNNNNNNNNNNNNNNNNNNNNNNNNNNNNNNNNNNNNNNNNNNNNNNNNNNNNNNNNNNNNNNNNNNNNNNNNUCUCUCUCUCUCUCUCUCUCUCUCUUGUUUCCUACCCCACUGGUUCUACAAUGCUGGUCGUCGCCUUGGGUUGGCGAACCUAGCUACUGUGGGUUGGGAUUCAAAUGCCACAUCAUCUUUGGGACGCGGCCGUGACGGCUUGGCCUGAUGCCUGCGAAGUAGGGCGAGCAGAGACAACAUGAGACUGCGCCGCUGUGCUGUUCGCCGUGACGCGCUGUCACGCUGUGUAGAUGGAGGAUGCGUGCCCAAGCCUUGUUGUGCCUGUCUUCCCGUGCGGUAGUCGGGAUCUGGACUGGAUCGGGGUUGAGUUCGACACCACCGAACCCCGGCUUCCAGGAGACCAGGCGCCUCCUCUCCUCAUCACCCGUCUCACCAGAGGCAUGUGCAGAAUUCCGUACACCAUCUGCGCAAACAUGGUGGUCGACGACGCUCUGGAUGUGGUCUACGUGAGGACUAGGUUCCAUCAUUAACAUGUACCCUGGCAAGGUAUGUGCUAUGGGAUGUAAACUCUCGAUUUUAUCUUCAUUUUAGUUGCCUUCAUCUCAUGCUUUGUUCGUUCCAUAGGCAUUUGUCAUGAAUCUAUUUUCAGGAGGGUGAUGUUAACGAUUUCAAAAACUUGAUAGCAGGGUAUGGCUAUAGUUAUUGGUCAUGCAUUAUCGCGAGGCUUGACAAGCAUACCAUAAAAUGGUUUUUAUUUAUGCUCUCGUAGGUUAAACCAAUCUCUGUCAUUAUGAAAUUGGCAUAGCUGAACAUGAUCAGGACUUCAGCAGGGCAGGGUCAUUACUUUGGAGUUUCAGCACUCAUAGUUGGUGAGUGCUUAUGUCCUAAAAUUUUGGAUGUGACUAAACAUAGGCUGGUAUGGCUAAUCUUUUUUGCUUUUCUGUCCUUGCUCUUCACGGAAUCUUCAGGUUUACGGAUUGAUAAUUGUGAUCUAUGUUUCAACCACUUCCCAAUGUUUUACUUGAUGAGAAGGUUCUAAUUUUAUUUUAUUUUAUUUCACUUGAUGAGAAGGGUCCAUGUUUCACCGACUUUGUACAAGUGUGUUUGCUUAGCUAGAUUUCUGCCCUUAUUUUCUAUUUGACAUCCCUCAAUCAUUUUCUGCAGAUUCACUUCGUUCGUAUUCUAUAUUGUUGUAAGUGCACCUAGGGAUAUUAUAGUAGUUCUUAUCUGCAGUUUACUACAACUGGUGACCACAUCUCCAUAUUAUUAUCUUUAAAAUGUACUUUCAAAAAGUAAACUAAUUAACGUUAACCUUCCGCUCUGUAGAAACCACAUAAUUUCAACUCAUUAAUCAUUUUUUAGCGGAAAGGCAGUAAUCAAUGAUGGCGAUUUAAACUGUACUCCUUAUAGUAUUGAUAUUCCCCAUGCACCGGUAUGUUCUCGUACAUCCGUGAAACUUCUGAGUCAAAAUGUUAUAUCCUUAUGUAUACAGUUCAUCAUUGGUUGUUACAGAAUUUCCCAGUGGGCACAACCUCAACCCACACCUCCCACCAGGAUCUUCUCUCUGCCGGAGCCAUCCUACCUGCAGCCAGCUCCCCCUCGUACGCCCUGAUCUCCACCUUGUGUGCUGGUCCAUUCAUCAUAGCUAGAAGGUAAUGACUAAUGAGCAUGUCAUCUCUGCCCCUCUCAAUUUCAUCCUUGUGUUGUUUAUUUUUCAGAGAAUGUGGUAUUAUGUAGCCCCUCUCUGUUGAUGAAUUGAAUGUAUAGAUUAUAUACUAGCAAAAGAGCCCGUGCGUUGCAACGGGAUAAUAAAACCGACGAAUUGUACUCGUGUGACUUGAGCUUUGGUUGGUUUCACACGCUUAUACUUCUUAGUUUUCUUGUAAAAUAAUAUGGCGGUAUUUAUACUAUUCAGGGUUGGUUAUCCAUCCGUCAGGUUAUUCAGGGCGUAAAUUUACGGAAAGAAGCAUAUUGUGACGGUGAAUGCGACGGAGUCAAUCCGUGCUUUAUUAUUUGGAAAAGAGAAAUAUGCCUAUGCAUUGCUACGGCUCUAGAAUAAACCUAUACAUGGUCAAAAUACAGGACAGCAACAUGUCUUCUUUUAGUUUUUUUCAAACCAUUAGAAAUAUGUUAGAUUUUACUUAAGUUUAGUUCCCUUAUUCCACCAUAAAGCAUUCCGGUUGAAAAGGAGAUGGCGUCUGUCAUUUACUUUCUAGAAAAACAUAGAGUCGAUAAACUUUCCUGUAUCUUCAGCCAUAGGUCCUUUACUCAUAUUUAAAAAAUUGUAAUAUUUAAUCCAAGCAAAAUUAUAUGAAUUACAGGAAAAAUUGUACUCAUGUGACUUGAGCUUUGGUUGGUUUCACACGCUCAUACUUCUUAGUUUUUUUGUAAAAUAAUACGGCGGUAUUUAUACUAUUCAGGGUUGGUUAUCCAUCCGUCAGGUUAUUCUUGAAGCUAGCUAGUAAUCACCAUGAGUUCAGUUGGCGUUCCAAGUAAUCACCAAGCCAAUCGACCGUGAGCAUCCGGACGUUAGCUGCGAAUGACAGACGGCUGGAUGGGCUAAUGAAGAUUAAACCUCAAUUUUGUACGCGGUAGUGCUGCAGACCUUCUGCAGUGAGACUUCGAUCAGAAGGACUUACCAGACAGGGGCACGGAGGAUUUAGAUAUCCUACUGCAGCUGCCGCUGCUCACCAAGGAGUUGCUCCCGUGCCGCUCGAAGGUCGCCAGCUCGGGGCAGAGCAGGAGCUUAAAGGCCAUGGACACGCCAGACCUGAAGGACGGCAGUGGCAAGGGUGGCGCAGGUGGGCGACGUUGCUCGCGCUCGGGGCGGACGCCGGCGGCGCUCGAUCUUGCCUAGAGCACGGAGGGGACAGGGGAGCAGGGGAAGAGGUAGGCAGUAAACCAGAUAGGAAUGGCACAUGUAUCGCAUCUGCCCUCGGCGGAGCUCCGCUCUGUCGUCAACAUCCGCGACGGACCCCACGAAGCCCAUCAUGUCGGCGUCCUUGAGGAACCGCCCCUGCUUGCCGCGGCCGACCGCAAUUUCGGAGAAAUUGGAGAUGGGGGAUCGUCCGCGGUUCGGCAACGGGUACGGGGAGGAGUCCGGGGCAAAGACUGUUCCGCUCGACCGGCCGGAGGAGCGCAGCCGCUCCGGUGGCCAGAGAUCGAGGGGGUGGCGGCGGUGUCCAACCCCCAACAGGCUGUGUUCUUUUUCUGACGGGACGAAAAAGGGGAAUCCCUUCUCUGGAACCGCUGUCGUUGCUCGACUGUGCUCCAAGCCGCCGCCGCCACCGCCGUCGCCUGAUUGCUCUCUCCCCGUCAACCCCCCCUCUCUCUCGAUCCAGCGACGCGUGUUUAGAUCGAAGCCCCCUGAAUUCCACGACCGAUCUGAUUCUAUCGAUCGAGGCAGCUCUGUUUCGAUUUGUAUAUGUACUUUUUAGGAGGAGUGUCCCGUGUUUGUUUCUGAUAGCCAUCUAUUUGUUUUAUGCUCAACAGGCCCAUUAGCCCUUGAUCUGGCCCAGGGAGUCUAGCGACCCAGGGAGUCUAGCGGGGAAGAGAGCGGGUGCGACCGAUUGGAUGCACACGACGUGGUUGGCCAUCUGAAUUAGUACCACCUUGAAUAUAUUUUAAAAUUAAAAUUGAAAACGUAAAAUCACGGAAAGAAGCGCAUUGUGACGGUGAAUCCGGAGACCCAAUCCAUGCUUUAUUAUUAGGGAGAGAUUACUAAAGAAAUCCGCCUUAAAAGGCGUUCCACUAAAAACGCAGUAGGAUCCUAUUUCAAGUUCCUUGCACUUAAACCGCAAAAGGGAAAGGCAAUUUUCCUAACUUUUCCCGUUAACGCAGAGCAGUCAGAUGAAUAACAGUAGGAUUGUUCAGUUUGUAUGCUCGUCCACUACUUCGGUUUAUUCAGGUUGCAUGAUACAGUAAUUUUGCAAAUGUGUCAGACUAUCUAUUUAGAUUAGCUAAUAGAAUUUAUUUCCACUAUGUGUUGUGCGGAGGAUAGAUCAGCAGGACUAAACAAUAUGUGUCUAACACCAUUUGCACAAUUCCCUUAAACUGCCCGCAGUAGCUGACCAAGUACCACCAAUGUUGUCAUCAGUCUUGAAGGGGAUUCAAAACCCGGUAGGAUCGCACACCGUAUGGCUUGGACAUCGGAAGAAGAUGCAAGAUUGGUAAUGAGAUUACUUGCCUCAGUGCUCAAUUUAUGAUCCUAUUCAUUUGAACUGAUUUACUUGUUUGUCUCAGCUAAUCUAUCCUCAAACGCAGACAACCAUUUGGUCGAAAACCUCAAAUGUUUCCAUCGAGAUAAUAACAAGAAGAACAUCAAGUACUGGGAUGACAUUGUUGUUACAACAAUAGUAAUAGGCCAAGUCACCGGAAGGGAGAUGCUCGUCGUGUAUGAUGGACAUGGUGGCUCGGAGGUGAGGUUAUCUUCUCUUGAAAAUCUUGACCUAGACAAAAGAAAUUAACCUUGAGGCCAUGGGAAGCAGGAAAGCGAAGGUCACGAAUGGCCGCACAAUUUGGUGGUGUUUGUGUGUUGUGCGGUCAAGCCUUUCUACGGGCUCCAUGGUGAUGCAGCAGCAUCACCUUCUUACGGAGAUGAGAUGAUGGGAUGAGGCCGCAUGGUGUUACCUAUUGUUGUUGUGUUAGCUUUGCUGUGUAUGUGUGCGUGUGAGAGAGAUCAGCGGCUGAUUGGGGAUGGUUAUGUUGUUGCUAGAUUAUAAAACAUGUCGUUUAAGUGAAUAUCAACUGUCGGAAAGAAAGCAAUGGUACUGUGAUUCUACUGUUUUAUGCUAGACGUUAAAGAAUACUACUUGCAAGCAGUUAGCGACGAACUGAGGGUUUGCAAGUAGUACUUUUUCCCAGUUGUGCUUCUACUUGCCUGAAUUUAAGUAGGAGAAAUUACCAGUUGUGUUUUUUUGAAAUAAUCUUGAUUUAACUAUGAUUUUCAGAAACUGGUACAGCUUUAACACGGUUCCUUGCUCACUGUGGUACAUUAAAACAAUAAAUUGAGGAGUUUAGAGCCUGCCUAGAGACCUCACAUAGCACCGCCUCAUUUGGCAGCGACAUCAUGAUGAUCUUGUCUGGUCUACUCCAAGUCUCCGCUUGUGGUUUGUGUUGGAAAUAUGAGCAAUUUACCGAAUGAUUUUAUUAACAAAAAUACUAGAUAAAGCAUGACUAAAAUAGGAAAUAUAAAGAAAGUCAUGCAGUCUGACAGAGAGAAGGUAAACAUCGUCUGCAUAAAUGAACUUGAGCUAAACACAUCUAGAACAGACAAUAGAUGAAGUUGCUCAUACGAAACAGAACCUAACAUACGUAGGGCAGAAACUAGAGCCAAGAACUGUAGCAGGACUUCUAACAGAAAGGAGAAGAACACGUACGGCAUAGCAGCAGCAGAAGAGCUGGACUUGGGGUCAGUGUCCUCGCCUGCCAUGUCGUCGAGGAGGUCGUGGACGUCGGGGAAGAAGUCGUCGUCGGGGAAGUAGUCGUCGGCGACCGGAUCGUCUGUGAUGAAGCAGCCAGUAGUCGCGCUGAGCGCUUCCCAAAAACCUUAUCACCCUUCUCCCGUACAUGACUCAAAAGGUGCGGUCUCUGAGGCCUACUGUCCCAACAUGCGGUGCACGCCGCAAGUCGGGAUGAGGAAGACAGCAGCAGCUCAGAGAUGGAACCGAUGGCGAGGGAAGGAGCAGUUCUGGUGCGUAUCUCUGAAAGGAGCGACCUCCCUUUUAUAGGCGCAAGAGAAGGAGGCGAGAGGCUGCGCCGGGAGCUGAAGGGAAUGUGGGAGACGAAACGAACAAGCAGCAGCUGAAGGGGCGCGCCGUUCGGAUUCAGUGUCCAGGCACAGAAAAAAACUGUUUCAGCUUCCGAGUGACCUUUCGUAUACACGUAGUGCGUGGCAAAACUUUAGACAUCGGCUCAUUCCCGCAACCCGCGGCGUGACGAGGCGGGCGGCGGAGGAGGAGCGCGCGUGGAUGUCCCUCUUGUUCUCAUGCUCAUACAAGUGGGGAAGGAGUCUCCCUUAUAAAGAGGUCCAACUCCCUCUAAACUAGCAAGGUGGGACUAAACUUUAGUUCCACCUCUUACCUUGCAUGAAUGGGCUGCGUGGGCCUCUAGGAUUUAUUAGGAAUUUCUGAAACUGCUAUUGGGCUAGGCCCAAAUAGACAAAAAUUCCAGCAGUUUGUGUUCUUUAGGUCUAUGGAAAACACCACGGUGCAUGCCAUUGUCCGUCAUUUCGGGAAAAAUGACCUAGAACAUGCAGAUAACUAAAUUUGGUGAAAGAACUGAAGAAAUCUACUACAUCACAAUAUGAAUUAAAAACAAACAAAAAAUUGGGCAGGACCUCUACAUAAAAAUGGACAGUUAUAGAAAUUUAGCGAAACGGAAAUAAAUCAACGGUUUGCCAAAAAUUUAACGCUUAUAGUAUGAAUCCCAAUAAGGAAAUGAAGACAUCUACUACAUCACAAUAUGAAUAAAACAUAAACAAAGAAAUUUGGCAUGACCUCUGCAUAAAAAUGGACAUAUUAAGUGAUUGAGAUCUGGCGAAACAGAAAUAAAUCAACGUAUCGCCAAAACUUUAGCACUUAUAGUAAGUAUACCUAUAAUGAAUUGAAGACAUCUACUACAACAUAUUAUUUAACUCAGUAUGAACAGAAAUAAUGUACGGAAUAAUACAAUAUAUAUGUGAGACUAUAUAAUUACCUCUAAUAUGAACAAAUUGGUAUUCCUUGUUCAUGGUUACGUAUGUGGCUGCUGCAACUAUAAUUGUUUUGAUGUGUGUGCCUUAAAAACUAUAGAACAAGAAACUACAACUAUAAAUGAACUCUAGUAUGAACAAAUCGAACUCAUUAACGAAUAUGAACACAUUAAUAGCAAUAACCCUAACCCUAGUCGAACGUACGUGUGCGUGUGCGUGGCGGCCGUGGCCGUGGGUGACAAGGAGGAAAGCCGGAGAGGGAGGCGCGGACGACAAUGUAUUACUGGAUGGAGCGGAGGGUGACGGGGCGGAUCGUCGGUGAGGGCGACGGGGCGGCGAAUCGAGGGCGAGGGAGACGCGCGGUGAACGGCUAGGGCGGCGACGAGUAAGCGGUGCUGAUGGCGGCAGCGGACAGGGACGACGACUUGGGUAGCAUGGAUGAGCCAACGGCGUCCGCGACGAGAUGGGGAAGAGUGGGAGUGAGAGAGUAAAUUGGGGUAGGAGGAGAGGGGGCACGUGCGUGUACGUAGGUCGAUUGAGUUUGUCGUAUGCGACCGGUGUGCCAAGCCUCCCAACACGGCUUCUUUGGGGUGGUGGGCGGAAAACCGAUUCGAUUUGGGGCAGAAUAGACAGCUAACUUAGUUGUGGCGGGUAGGGGCCCAUACCCGCCAGAGCUAAUAUCUGUAUAAAAUUUAUUUUUCUGGCGUGCAUUGCUGGCACUAAACUGUGGCCGGCCCAAUCGAGCGUCCGCCACUUUUGCAUUCAAGAACAAUGGCGGCCGAGGCUAACACCCGCCACUGAUCGCAUUCAUCAGGUGGCCAUACUCAGUGGUGCUUACUUGUGGCGGGUGGUGUUCUCCACCCGCCACUGCUACGCAUGUAACUCUGGAGGUCAUGUUGUGGCACCUGCCACUGGUACUUUUGCUAACUAGCAGUGGCAGGUGCUAUGUCCCGCCCGCCAAUCUUUCGAAUUCACCUAUAAGCCCUUUCCCAGUAGAGUAAUAAAGGACUUCUUGACAAGUCCGUGUAGAUUAAAGGUAUGUUAGUAGAUGGUGUAAUAAAUACAUGCUUUAGUGAUCUAAGGAUACAAAUAUGCCACUAUUUAUUUUGUAAAAGGUCGAAAUCAUUCUUAGAAAUCUUAGUAACAACAGUUCUCAUGAACAACUUUGACAAAAUGCAUCAAAUGUUACAAAUAAUACAUACAAACUUAGUUCAAUAAAUUAAUCAAUUGAAGUGAGAACAAACCUAAAUGUACUUAGAGUAAAUCAAUUAAUACGUGUAAAGCCAAUACUAAUCCAAUAUUUAUUAAUAAAUUUGCAUAGAAUUACAACCCUUUGACAUAGAAAGGGAAUAUGAUGAGUCAUGUAUAGAUAACUUGCACAACAUUCCUACCCUUGGCAUAAAAGGAGAAAUUGAUGAGUCAUGUAUUGAUAAUGUGCACAACAUCACUACCCUUGACAUAAAAGGAGAAUUUGAUGAGUCAUGUGUUGAUAACGUGUACAACAUUACUAUCAGUAUGUUCAACUUACCAUCAUAUUAUACAACACUACAAGUUAGUUUUAAAAAGAACAAGAGUCCAGAACGAAGAUCAGAAUACUUGCUUGAUCUAUCUUAACAACAUGCACUAGGACAAAAAUUUAGUCCCACGCAAGCUAUGAAGAUUUGUUUUAUGUAUAACUAUUUGUACAACAUGACAAACUUAGAUCCAAAAGGAAUGCAAUCCAGAUAAUUGUUUGACAUGUAAAGUGAAUAAGAUGAGUCAAUGCCAAUUAUCAAGUUUUCCUCACUCUUAGAUGAUAUGUACAAUAAAAAGACAACUUUGAUGAUCACUCUGAAAUUACGUUUGUAUGUAGUGCCACCAAACACAACAUCCCAAAUAUUAGUUUGAUAAGCAUCAAAUCACUUUUGAAAAAAGAAAGCAAUAAUGAAAAGAAACCUAACCAAGAUAGCUAUAAAAAGGCCUGCAAUAUGUAGACUCCAUACCAUCAUCCAUCCUUCACACACCUAGAGCACAAAUCAGCAAAUCCAAGUACGUAGUAGUUAACGCAAAUCGACCAUGAAGACCUUACUCAUCCUGACGAUCCUUGCGAUGGCAAUAACCAUCAGCACCGCCAAUAUGCAGGUCGACCCUAGUGGCCAAGUACAAUGGCCACAACAACAACUAGUCCCCCAACCCCAACAGCCAUUAUCCCAGCAACCGCAACAAGCAUUUCCCCAACCCCAACAAACAUUUCCCCAUCAACCACAACAACAAGUUCCCCAGCCUCAGCAACCACAACAACCAUUUCUCCAGCCCCAACAAGCAUUCCCCCAACAACCACAACAACCAUUCCCUCAGACUCAACAACCACAACAACCAUUUCCCCAGCAACCACAACAACCAUUUCCCCAGCAAUCACAACAACCAUUCCCCCAGACUCAACAACCACAACAACCAUUUCCCCAGCAACCACAACAACCAUUCCCCCAGACUCAACAACCACAACAACCAUUUCCCCAGUUCCAGCAACCACACCAACCUUUUCCCCAGCCCCAACAACAAUUCCCGCAGCCCCAACAACCGCAACAAUCAUUCCCCCAGCAACAACGACCGUUCAUUCAGCCAUCUCUACAACAACGUUUGAACCCAUGCAAGAAUAUCCUCUUGCAACAAUGCAAACCUGCGUCAUUGGUGUCAUCCCUCUGGUCGAUAAUCUGGCCACAAAGCGAUUGCCAAGUGAUGCAGCAACAAUGCUGCCAAGAACUAGCACAGAUUCCUCAGCAGCUCCAGUGCGCAGCCAUCCAUAGCGUCGUGCAUUCCAUCAUCGUGCAGCAGCAGCAACAACAACAACAACAACAACAACAACAACAAGGCAUGCAUAUCCUGCUGCCACUAUCUCAACAACAACAGUUGGGUCAAGGUACUCUCGUCCAAGGCCAGGGCAUCAUCCAACCUCAGCAACUAGCUCAAUUGGAGGCGAUCAGGUCAUUGGUGUUGCAAACUCUUCCAACCAUGUGCAACGUGUAUGUCCCACCUGAGUGCUCCAUCAUCAGGGCACCAUUUGCCAGCAUCAGGGCAUCAUCAGGGCACCAUUUGCCAGCAUAGUCGCGGGGAUUGGUGGCCAAUGAAAAAAGCAAGAUCUAUACUAAUAGAUAGAUGGAUCAUCGUUACUUAGCAGAUGCACCAAUCGAUGUAACGAUGACAAAUAAAGUGGCGUGCACCAUCAUGUGUGACCCCGACCAGUGCUAGUUCAAGCUUGGGAAUAAAAGACAAACAGAGUUCUUGUUUGCCAGCAUUGCUUGUCAUUGUUCCAUUCACCAUGUAUUUAGAUGUUCAUCCCUAACCGCAGUUCUAGGCUUACACAUCAACAGCUAGUUGCUUGUGCCGGCAGGUUCCUAUGUAAUCUACCGAUUAAUGGUUGACCUAUUAAUCCAGUUUAUAGGCCGAUUGAUCUAUUAAUUGCUGCUCCCAAACUGACCGACCAGCUAUCAGUUACCAUUUUGCUGAACAUUGCACACAGUAAUAACUCAACGUAUUUUAAUGUCUAGAAGUAAAAGGGCCAUUUUAGCAGCAAAACAAGCGCCUGAUUAGGAACCAUCCAUCACUUUAAAUGUUCACCAAGAUAUUUUUGCGUUGGUGCAAUUUUGAGAUUGGUGGCACCGAAACAUUCCUCAAAGCAAUUCUUUAUGGGACUCCAAAGAGGUGAAAAUAAAGUAAAGUUGCCACAUGGUAAAAUAUAAAUCAUGCGGCGAGCAAGAGAAAAUAUUGAGUUACGAUAGCAAGCGCCAAACAUGCCAUUAAACUCUUCAUAUGGUUUCGUGCAGAGAGGGGGGAUUUAGAGAUGACAAACAAAGCUUAAGUAGCAUCGGUUCUGAUUGUAGAAAUUUCUUUUACCUAUAGAAUAACUCGGUUGUUAUUUCUUUAACAAUGUAGUGUGAUAUUAACUUAUCUCAAUCUAGGAACACAAAGCAAAUAUUACAUGUGCUUCUAUGGAUUCCAAGCAGAUGAGAAAUCAUAUUGUGUAGAAGUUCAUUAGAAGGAUAUAAUAGUUUUGACCUAAACAAAUUUACUAUUGUACUCGUGUCUUAGAAAAUUAAAGCUGAAAAUCAACAUAACCAUUGGACACUUCGAAAGACAAGUGUGGGAAAUAAAUAGUAGGAUGUAAAUUUGAGUAGAGUGUUUGAUCAAAUAUUGAACAAAUAACCCACAAACUACUAAAACUCAUCUAUUAAUUCUACCAUAUAUGAACUGUCACAAUGAUAAAGCUAUGAUUUUUUUGACAAAUAUGUAUCCUAGAACUAAUACAAGUUCAAACAAAUCAGCCACAGAUCCCCGAGCCCAUCCAACCAGAUAGCUGAAACUGAAAGAAGCAUUAGCUUGAUUAGAGCACCUACAGCCUAACUUGACAAAUUUGACCCCAGAAACGCUCGCGGACGCGCCCGGUAGUAACCGGUCACGCCUAAAAUAUUUCAUUCUACAACCAGAUACCUCAAAUUAGAAACCUCAAAUCCAUAUUAUUACAUGCAACAUAAAUCGAUCUUUAAGCAGAGCACGUCCGGUGAUCGAAUGCUCUCCGGAGUGUUGGUCCAGUCACCGGCAAGUUAGAGUAGGGCAUGGGAUACGAGGCGGGUCACGGGACUCGAGGCGCCACCGUCCCCCAUUCCCAACUCUUCUCCAUCGGAACCAGGACGGUGCCGGUGGACGUCAGAUCGAUGAUGGAUCCUUCCUGGGAUGAGCCAUCAACAUCGACCACCACGUGGUUGCGGUGCCCGGACUAGUGCACAAUAUGGGGAGCCGAAAAAUACGACUUUGCCUUCGCAACGACCACCACCGCGAGGGCUGUCGCCGCCUCCCGCACCCGCUGCCUUGCAUGGCAGGAGCGCCGAACUAUGUUUUGCGUCGGGCGGUGCCCAUGGUGUGUCCAUGGCCUCAGCACGCCAAUGGAGGGGCUGUGCGUCUGCCACCCAUUUGAACGCUAGAUGGACCGCACCACCUCUGGUGAGGCAGUGAUGGUACACCUAGCGCCGGAUCCAUGCAUCAUUUGGGCGGACGCAUUGGAUUCCCCGCGGAAGGAGUUCGAGCAUUGCCGUUGCCAUCGGGCAGCCUCCUCCUGAGACCGGCGGAGCGCAAGCUCGAUUGCCAUCUCCUCCUAGGAGCCGCGUGGGAUGAGUUCGGGGUCGACGGAUCUGGAGGUAUAACACUGGGAUCCGCCGCCUGCCAUGCCGAAGAAGGCCAUAAGAUCGUCGGACGGGGGCGGCAGGGAGUGAAGUGAAGUGGCUAGGGUUUGGUCCGGCAAGCGGAUGGGGAGGAAUAUAUGUGGGGUCGGGUGGGCCAGCGUGGAUCGGGACCGACAUGGCGGACGCGCGUGGGCGCCCCAUAUUCUUCCCAGAUUUCGGCUGGAUAUGAGGGGUGUUGGUCAGCUUGGGCGUUGAGGCCCGUCUAGGUCAUUUUUCUGUGACCUGGCCGUCCGCCGGGGUGUUUGAAGUGGGUUUGGGACACCCGGGUGUAAAUGCUCUUAGACCAUGUAGUACCUUGAGGAGGAUGGUGUGGGUCCAUGAAAGAACUACAGCCUUUCCAUUAUGUUCGGGCGCAGGGCGAUAACGAAGUUAUCUUUACUCCUACAAGGGGAGUUGUUAGUCUCCGUUCCAUGGGUUUUUUUGUCUCACCUCCCAUCUUCGUUUCAUUUUUUCCGUCUCUCUUUCACACCGUCGGGUGGAGCUUAUGUGUCAUACUCCGUGACCUUUCAUUAGUUUUCUAGAGAGAAUCCUACUCUCAUAGAUUGCGACGUUUAACAAUCAGACUCAUAUAGGUGUGUUCUUCAAAAGAUGUUCUGCAGGACAACAUCUCUCCUUCAAAAAGCCACUUAGAACACAUUAAGAUAUACAUCAACCUACCAUGCAGAUUAGGAGAGUAUUGCAUCUUCAUGGAGUGGUAUUUUAACAAUAAGGAUACACUACUAGGGAAAAGGCUAGCAGCAGCGCGGGUUUUUGGUGUAUCAGUAGCGCGGGGUGGGGCGCUACUAAUAAGGCGCUACAGCUAACAUAUAGCAGUAGCGCGUGGUCACCGGCGCUACUGCUACACAAGUGUAGCAGCAGCGCGGUUACUGGGAGCACGCUACUGCUAGUAGCUCUAGCGCCCUUUGCAGCAACGCGCUACUGCUAUAGAGGCGCUGCUGCUAACUUCUAUACACUCGCUACUGCUAAUUUAACAGGUUUUUUGUUUUUUUGGGCAUAUUUGUUUUGUAUUUGAACAGGCUUUAUAGAAGAAUCUUUAGCACAUAGAAAUGUCAUCAUGAUACACAUACAAAUGCCUGCGAGACCACGAAUAUAAUCAUAGCAUAUACAUACAAAUAGUCUCAUCAUAAUCAUCAUCCAACACAAAGUGGUCUCUCGUCAUCAUCUCGAAAAUAGCGAUACAAGUCCUUGAUUACUUGCAAAUACAUUGUCAUCCAUCUAAACAAUGGUAUACGCGAGAAGAGCUAUCACUUUGAGAACAUGAGUUCGUAUCCCUCUCUCGCAUUAGCGUGAACCUAAACUAACUACUGCCUGUCGCUCGGAAACCGGAAACCGGCAACACCUGGGUCUGACACUCCGGUCACUCAUCGUAUAUAUACUCCUGGCGUAGCACUUCUUCGCCAUCGAUGAUCUAUGCACCUGCAUCAUCACAUGAGUAGAUGAUAUGCAACAUAUAUAGUUGAGCAACAGAAAGAGACAGACUUGACAAAAAUAGAAACAACGUAUCAUAAGCAUAAAUAACAAAGUUCAUCAUAACCAAAAUGCCCUAACUAGAGUGAUCUUCGCUAGUCGAGGAGGAGGACGGUUUAAUUACAUCACAAAUAAAGUUUUACUGCGCAUAACUCAAAGUUUUGUCAUACAGAAAGUAUGGAGUAAACAGACACAUUGUCAUAUAUUGACAAUCACUCCAACAUGCCGUGCCAUCCAUCGAGGUCAGGGAGAUAGUCCCCGAGCUUAGUGAAAGGCUUCAUGUCGAGACGCUGAGAGGCUAUCCAUGUUCGGACGUCUUCCCACAACAUUUUUCCUCCGUAGAACAUCCCUGUUUUUCCGACGACCUCUUUCAUGAUGAUUUGGGCAAGUUCGCGUUGGAUGUUAUAGAACUCAGCUCGAAGUCGAUGAUCCUCGAUAUCUCCUAUGUCCUUUGCCCAUUGCAGAAUAUGGGCAUCGCCAGAUCUAGGUGACAUGUGAAGGUUCUGGUGAUCCCGUUUGUACUCCCGCAUGUGGUGUAGGACAUAGAAUCCACCAUUAAGAGAAUCGUUCGGUUGUUGGAUGCAGCAGAAGUCGGUCUUAUGGCUGAAGGCGGCCCUGCCGCCCCUUCUCUUCUUGUCCCUAACCUCUCCACCCCUUGCUUGGUAGUAAAACAUAGCACUGUCGAGAACAUCUUUGAUGUGGGUGUAAUCCUUUUUGUGAAUGUUAUUCGAUGAGUCCAAGUAAAGAGCAUGGGAGAAUCGGGGGUAGAGGAUGAUGAGGACGGCGCGCCCGCCGCUGCGCAAAAUAAGUACACCUCAAAUUAAUUAGCCUUCACCGUGCAAAUGAAUUAUUGAAAUCGAAGGAAGGAUAGCAGCGCGGAUGACUUACACGGGAUGAUAAGGCACGAGAAUCGCCUCCUUGUCCUUAUUGGCGAGCAUGAAACUAACGAUGUAAUUCCUCGCGUAUUCACGCUGCUCUGCACAGACUCCCAAGAAGCUCUCGUGCAUGUAGUACGGGUCAGUGACACAGAUAUGACGUAUCUGCUCAACCCCAAUGAUGUAGUUCAUGUGCAAGGCAUAAAGGCGGACAAAUGUAAAAUCCAGCUUCUUCACGUGAAACAUGUCGAAUAUGUAAUCGAAUCGGAGGAAGAACUUAUCCGCAGCGAAGCUGUCGACGUAUGACAUUUUCCGCGGAACGUUAUCCACGUAGAGUGGGUAUCCUGGAUCUUUCGAGGCAAUGAGGCAUUUCUCUACCCGUAGCACAUCAUCAUGAAGUCUCCUUAGAUCGCCGAAUCUGGCCCGUAGCGCUGUUGCAGGUAGGAUUGGUUGACCGGGGAUAUGCCAUUUAUCCGCAUCGGGGAUAUCUAGACGGUCCUGAAGCUGAGGCUGCUGAGGCGGCUGGAUCAUAGAAUCAACUUUUUUUCCUUUCCUCGCUCUCUUCCUAGACUUCUUUACUACCGGAAAGUCGUCAAUAACACAUUGAGACGGUAAUUCAGGCACCGACUCAUGAUGCUCAAACCCUGAGGAGGCGCCAGUAUAGACAUACUGUUCAGCGCCAUCGUCAUCCUCAUCCUCAUCCAUGGCGACGUCAUCAGCGACUAAUGGAGCCUCCUCCUUACCCCGUCCGCUAUCACCCAACCCGACACCCAACGCUAAUUGGGUAGGUGGGGUGUUGAUGUUCAUACCUUGCUGAGACUGCGUGCUCGUGGGUGUGCUCCCGGCCGCCUCCAGACGAAGCAGACUCUUUGGCCACAACAGGACCUACCCAUUGCAACAAUCACCAAGCCGCUGCGGUGUCUCCUCGUCAUCCACCAAUAGUGUUGGAGGAGGCAAAUUCUCGUGGCCCGGUUCGACACUGGCCAUGGAAACCUUGAAGACGUUUGGGGGAAUCGGCCGGCUGUGGAACAAUGGUUCCUUCGGCUUCAUUAUCGUCGCCUUCCCCAUGGCCACCUUCUGGUCCCCGAUGGUGUACAAUAUGGUGCGCGGGGUUUCGUCGGCCUGCAAAGAGAAGUCUGCGACGUGAGACAUUCGAAAGGCAACGAAAACGGGAGAUUAUACAUUUAUAUUGAAGGGGGCCGGUGUGACAGAUACCGUGAGGGCGUCGAGCUCAGCCAAAGACAAAGCACCGCCGAGCACGUCCGGUGCGGGAGCCGGUGCGGGAGCAGGUGCUCCCAAGAAGUCAGCAAGGGGAAAGUCCUCUGCAUUUUUUUCUGGAUUUUUCCUUGUCCAAGUGAUAACGCCCGUCACCAAGGAAGUAGACAAAUCUGCAACCGCCUGUUUUGCGGCAGCUACCGCUGUUGCGACUGUCUGAGAUGAUUUCUUCUCAACCGCAAUCUCAACCUUCUUGUCGAUGUUUUUUUCAGUUAACCUCCGUCUUUCCUUUCUCUCCUCUGUGGUCUCCCGGUAGUACUUCUUCCACGUGGCGCCGUCUCCGACACCGUGCACGCGUCCAUACGAUGGUCGAGUAUCCAUCGGUUGUCGUUUCAAUAUGUUCAACGUCCGGUUGAAUGGAGUGUCCCACUUGGGCCUCGCCAAUGCCUCAGACGGCGAGUCGUUUUCGACCGCAAUCCGGUGCUGCUCUCUCUGCAAAAGGCACAAGGAUCGUUUACAAAUAUGACUAACGUGUGCAGUCGAAUUGAUCAGAAACUAAAAUUACCAGCAGUCUCAUGAACUCCGUAAUGACCGGUGUUGUCUCAUAAACCUUCUUCACUGGGUCCCAACGGUGCCGAGCCCUCAGGACGUCACGCUCCUGCGGGACAGUGAAAUCCGCCAAGGGGUCUGGGAUGCCCAGACUCGCGGCUUCCGCGUCCUCCUUGGCCCAUUUGGACCUCUUUCCGCCGUAACCACGCUUCCGAGGUGGUGGCUCCCAAUGUUCCUCUUUUGAAGCCCCUUCAUGUACUUAGACUUUUUUUGGCAGCUUCGGCCUCGCAAGCCUCCUUGAAUAUUUGAAACUGCUCUUCCGUGAUUGUCAGAUUAUCCUUUACAAUCUCGGAGUAGGGUUCCCCGUCGUUGAUCUUUGCUUUCACUCAAUUUUUCCAGGCGGCCAACGCGUCGCUAAACUUGGUCAUGGCGUGUUUGUUUAUCUUCUUCAUUGCGGGGUCCUCGUCUGGAUCUUCAUAAUCCUUCUCAUUCCGGCCCGGGAACAAGAAUAUCUGGUGAAACUUCUUUAGAAGGGAGCUCCUCAUAUUUUCUAUCUUCUAUAGUUUCUCAUCAUUGAUGGUGGCGGUUGUCCGUAUGAUGCAGCCUAUUUGAUUGCCGUAGCACGCGCGCGCUUCCUCGGGCGCCUUUGGCUCAAAAUUGCCGUCGUCCACCUCUGUGACCACCAGUCUAGUAGUCCUGAGUUUGUUAGGAACCCGUUGCUUCUUUGCGUUCGGUUCUACACCAGCUCCGCUCCCCGAGACAGCACCGGUCUCAGCGCCGCUCUCGAUGCCGGUCUGAAUCUCAGCGCCGGUCUCAGUCUCAGCACCGGUCUGCGUGUCGGUCUCAGUCCCCGAUGCCACUGGUGGGCCCAGCAACAACAUCGGUUGAUCGUCGGUAAGGCUAAAAUAUUCAUCUGCCACCAGGUAGACGUCGUCGCAAUCACCAGAACCCUGUCCUUCAUCGUUGCUAGCCAUGUUUCCUAUCAUUAAAUCUAGUCAAUUAAUUCUAGACCUAAUAAAAUGAAUAAUGACAUAAAAAAGGACUAUUGUUUUGCAGGAAUGUUGACUCCUUCCUGGUGCGGAAAAUCCCGGCACUCGAUAUGUCCUAGUUUGUAGCACAAGUCAUGCCGAAAUUCACGGAAAAUUUUGGCAUGGCCUUUGCUAAAAAGUGGACAAAUCGAGAACCUGAAAUUUGUCGGAACAGAAAUGAAUCAACAUUCCGGCAAAACAUAGGCCACUCAGCAUCAUUCCCUGGAAACAACAAAGCCACUUGGGCACAAUCGAACAACUUCAAUGAAAAGAUAUAACAUGAGCAAACACUAUUGAGGAAUUUGCAUAUAACAUGGCCACUUCAAUGAAAAGAUAUAAUCAACAAUAACGGAAUAUGCAAAUGAACAUCAAUGACAUAUAGCUACUGUUCUGUUUGACCAAGUUUUUGAAAAGAAAAACAAUUCUGUUUUUUGUUUAUAGCUAAAUGCCAUAGCUACUAUUUUUUAUUUAUAGCUAAAUACUUUUGUUUUUUGUCUAAAGCUAAAAGUCUAGGAACUACAUUUUCUCUAACCCUUUUGACCUCACCAGAAUUUUCACAGCAAGACCUUAGUACCUACACCCAAUUUCUUCAAAAAUAUUCAGGUCCAUAGUCCAAAUAAUUCAAAUUUCAUUUGAAUGAAAUUUGGAACAAAUUCAGGUCCGUAGUCAAAAUAUUUUUUUAUAGCUAAGUGUUUUUUGUUUAUACCCUCUGUUAAUUUAAAUCUAAAUGCUACUAUUAUUUAUAUACCCUCUAUUAGUUUAAAGCUAAAUGGAAUUACUGUUUAGGAAUUUUCAUAAAAAUUGCCCUAGCUAAUUUCCUAAAAAAAUUGCAAAUCAUUUUUCCUAAAUGCUAUAAAAUGCCUACUGCCCUAAAAAAAUCUAGGGUUCAUAUGAACACCUAGGGUUCAUAUGAACAUCAACACAGUAUCAACAUAUAUAUAUAUAAUUGCCCUAGCAGAGAGAAAUAGGAGGGUAGGGACAGGAGAGGCAUAGCCUUACGGUCGGCGUUGAGGGCAGGCUCUGGCUCGGGCAGCGGCGGUGAGGUCAAGGGCGGCGGCGGCGAGCUCGAGGGAGGCGACAGUGAGGUCGACGGUGACAGCCUCGGGUGGCGGCUGUGAGGUCGAGGGGGCGGCCUCGGGCGGCGGCCUCGGGCGGCGGCAGUGUGGUCAAAGGCGGCGGGCGGCGGCGGUGUGGUCGAAGGCGGCCUCCGGCGGUGGCGGUGUGGUCGAAGGCGCGCGGCAGGGCAACGGCGGCGAUGAAGCAGUUGGGGGACAGGGGGGAGUAGAGAGGGGGGAAAGGACUUAGCAAAAUUUUGAGCCAGGGCCGCCGGGAUUUGAGUCAAACUAGCAGCAGCGCGUUUUGACGAAACGCGCUAUAGCUAAGAUAGCUAUAGCGUGUUCCAGAGAAAUGCGCUACAGCUAACCCUUUCUGUUUUCUUUCUCUUUUUAUUUUGUUUUCUUUACAUUUUCUUUUUUUCAUUUCUCCUUUUUCUAUUUCUUUCAUUUUCAUUUACUUUUCUACUUAAUUUUCUAUUUAUUUUCCUUUACAUAGCAGUAGCGCUGUAAAGAAGAAACGCGCUGCUACAAUGUUUUUAACAGUAGCGUGCUUCUGGGAGAAGCGCUGCUACUAUUCCUAGCCUACCGGCACCAGUGAGAGAAUUUUAGUAGUAGCGCUUUUUUGUGGAGAAGCGCUACUACUAAAAUAAUGAUUGUAGCGUGGUUUUGCAACAAGCGCUACUACUAAGUAGCGCUAGCGCCGAGUUUUGACCAACGCUACUGCUAUACCUCUGUGUAUAGCAUUUUCCCUAGUAGUGAUACUCUCCUCUCAGUUGACCAACAGCUUGUCUUCCACAUCUAAUUCACGGGAUCUCCGAUCACAAAGAAUGGGUUACCACUGUGGACACCUCAUAUUGUGGGUCUCAUUCCCAUCUCCAUCGAUGCAUUAUCUAUCACAUUACGUGAUAGACCCUUAGUAAAAGGAUCUGCCAGAUUUUUAGACGUUUGGAUAUAAUCCAAUGCAAUAACUCUCGAGUUUUUCAUUUUUCUGACAGACUUUAACCUUCUCUGAACGUGUCUUGAUGACUUCAUGUUAUCCUUUGAGCUGCUCACUUUAGUGAUCACAGUUUGAUUGUCACAGUUCAUCCGGAUACCCGGUACAGGUUUCUCAACUACCGGUAAGUCAUUCAAGAGCCGACGAAGCCAAUCUGCUUCGACCGUAGUUGUAUCUAGUGCUGUGAGUUCUGCUUCCAUUGUUGACCUCGUUAAAAUGGUCUGCUUGCAAGACUUCCAAGAAACAGCGCCACCUCCAUGAGUGAAUACAUAACCGCUCGUGGCCUUUAUCUCAUCAACAUCUGAGAUCCAGUCUGAGUCAAUAUACCCUUCAAGCACCUUUGGAUGCCUAGUGUAGUGAAUUCCAUAAUUUGCAGUGCUUUCAAAUAACGCAAAACUCUCUCUAGAGCUUUCCAAUGCACAUCUCCUGGUUUUGAGACAAACCGGCUCAGUUAGCUAACAGCAAAAGAGAUGUCAGGUCUCGUAGCACUGGCUAAGUACAUAAGCGAGCCAAUAAUGUGUGAAUAUUCCAAUUGGUCUCUAGCAAUUCUUCGAUUCUUUCGAAGCAACACACUAGCAUCAUAUGGUCUUGGAGAGGGCUUGCAGUCACUGUAGCCAAAGCGACUCAAGAUCUUUUCCCCAUAGUGAGACGGAAGCAAUGUAAUCCCACCAUCAUCAUCUCUCAACAACUUGAUGUUCAGAAUGACGUCAGCCACUCCUAAAUCCUUCUUCUCAAAACAGCGAGAUAGGAAAUCCUUGACCUCCUUAAGAACAUUUAGAUUUGUUCCGAAAAUCAGUAUGUCAUCAACAUACAAGCAAAGCAUAACUCCCUCGCCCCCACCAUGGCGAUAGUACACACAUUUGUUAGCUUCGUUCACAACAAAGCCUGCAGCUGUUAAAGUUCUUUCGAACUUCUCAUGCCACUGUUUGGGUGCUUGCUUGAGUCCAUACAAAGACUUCAGCAACUUGCACACUUUCCCUUCCUAACCAUCUAUUACAAACCCAUCUGGUUGUUCCAUAUAAAUUUCCUCAUCCAACUCUCCAUUUAGGAAAGCAGUCUUAACAUCCAUUUGAUGAACGAGAAGACCAUGUGAGGCAGCUAGUGAAAGUUUAACUCGAAUAGUGGUCAGUCGAGCCACAGGUGAGUAAGUAUCAAAGAAGUCUUCACCUUCCUUUUAGGUAUAACCCUUUGCCACGAGCUGAGCCUUGUACUUUUCAAUAGUACCAUCAGGCCUAAGUUUCUUCUUGAAUACCCAUUUGCAUCCUAUAGGUUUGCACCAUAAGGACGAUCAGUUAUCUCCCAAGUUUCAUCCGCCAAGAUGGAAUCCAUCUCGCUACGAACCGCUUCCUUCCAGUAGUCAGCAUCUUCCGAUGCAUAGGCCUCCAAAAUAGAACUGGGAGUGUCAUCUAUGAGAUACACAAGAAAAUCAUCACCCAAGGACUUUGCUGUCCUCUGUCUCUUACUCCUAGUAGGAACUUCAUUGUUCUCCUCCACAGGCCUUUCAAAGUGUUCCAUCGAAAUGGCAGGUUCAGUAAUUGUAACUGGUUCCUGAUUCGAUGAACUAGGCAUCUCCUGAUUAGAUGAGGUAGCCAUAUCCUUCAUGGGAAAGAUAUCUUCAAAGAAAGUCGCAUCAUUCGACUCCAUGAUCGUACUGACAUGCAUGUCAGAUACCUCAGAUUUUACAACCAAGAAUAUAUAGCCAAUGCUAUGAAAAGCAUAUCCCAGGAAAACACAAUCCACAGUCUUUGGUCCAAGCUUCCGCUUCUUUGGAAUUGGAACAUUGACUUUCGCCAAGCAACCCCAUGUUCGCAGAUAAGAGAGUCUUAACCUUUUCUUCUCCCAUUCCUCGAAUGGAGUUAUCUCUUUGUUCUUUGUGGGAACUCGAUUUAGGACAUGACAUGCUGUCAAUAUCGUCUCCCCCCACCAUGCCUUGGAGAGACCCGAUGUGCAUAACAUGGCGUUAACGAAAUCAGUUAGAGUACGGUUCUUUCUUUCGGCCACCCCAUUUGACUGAGGUGAGUAGGGAGGCGUCCUCUCAUGGAUUAUACCAUGUUCCGCACAAAAAGCAUCAAAUUCAUUGGAAAAAUACUCUCCACCACGGUCAGACCUAAGCCUCUUGAUUUUUCGAUCAAGUUGGUUUUCCACUUCAGCUUUAUAGAUCUUGAAAAAGUUCAAAGCCUCAUCCUUAGAUUUCAGAAGAUACACAUGGCAGUAUCUAGUGGAGUCGUCAAUUAACGUCAUGAAAUAUUUCUUUCCACCUUUUGUCAAAACACCAUUCAUUUCACAUAGAUCUGAAUGUAUAAGUUCUAGUGGUGCAAGAUUUCUCGUCUCCGCAGUCACGUGAGACUUACGAGGUUGCUUAGCUUGCACACACACUUGACACUUAGAUCCUUGACAGUGGUGAAACUAGGGAUUAAGUUCAACUUCGCUAGUCGCGACAUGCAACCAAAGUUAACAUGACAAAGACGUGAAUGCCACACAUUUGAUUCACUAUUGUUGCAAAUAUGAUUAACAACUUUAUUGCAAAUGUCUGAUAAGGAUAAACGAAACAGGCCUCCUGACUCAUAGCCUUUACCAACAAAGGUCCCAUACUUGGAUAUUACAAAUUUAUUCGACUCAAAGACAAGCUUAUAGCCAUCUCUACACAGAAGAGAUCCGCUAACAAGAUUUUUAUUGACGGAGGGGACAUAAUGCACGUUCUUCAGCCGCACGAUCUUCCCUGAAGUAAACUUCAGAUCAACCAUGCCAACACCACGAACAGAAGCACUUGAACUGUUGCCCAUCAGCACGGUUGAAGUCCCUGCGGUCUGAUAAGAUGAAAACAUGGAAAUAUCACCGUAUACAUGCACAUUAGCACCCAUGUCAAUCAACCAACCAGGAGAAUGACAUACUGAAAGAAUAGUGGGAAAUAUACCAUACCCAACAUCUUUCAUGUCAAUGUCUCCGAUGACAACAUUAGCGGUCUUGCCGCCUUUCCCAGGAUGACGCUUGUCAUAGCGAUUAGGACAACUAGGAGCCCAAUGAUCAGGAUCUCCAAACACAUGACAAGCACCUUUCUUAUUGUCAUUCUUCUUCUUGAAGUUCAUGUGCUGCACAGCCUUGUUCUUCCCAUCGAACUUUGCUUUACCAUCAAACUUGCCCUUGUUCUUGAACUUGUGGGACUGGAAGUUCUUCUUCUGUACCAGAUUGGCACUAGAUCCUCCCUCAAUACCUCGAGCACAUGUGUCCUUUGCUCUCGCCUUUUCUUCCACAUAAGAGUACCAAUGAGAUCCGGGAUGGAAAACUCCUGUCUCUUAUGCUUCAGUGAGGUAGCAAAGUUCCUCCAUGAAGGAGGAAGCUUAGUGAUGAUACCCCCGGCAACAAACUUGUCCGGUAAGAUACAAUUGAAGUGCUCAAGUUCUCUAGCAAAAGACUGUAUCUCAUGAGCCUGCUCAACCACGGAGCGCUCUUCAGUCAUCCUGUAAUCAUAGAAUUAUUCCAUGAUGUACAGCUCAGUGCCGGCAUCCGAGACCCCAAACUUGGCCUCGAGUGUGUCCCACAUAUCUUUUCAUUGUCAAUUGACGCAUAAGCAUCAACUAUGUUCUCACCAAGAACACUCAAAAGAGCAGCCUUAAACAAGGUAUCCAUUUUCUGGAAAGCUUGUGCCUGUUGGGCAUCUUGCUCUCCUUCGGGUUUGCCAAGAGUGGCAUCAUAGAAACUCAUGGUUUGAAACCAUAAGACUGCUCUCACACGCCACUUCUUAUAGUGGAUACCCUCAAACAUAGGAGGUCUCAUGGAAGCAGCAAAAUCACUCGGGGUAAAUUGCCUAUAAUAAGGUUUUUGGAUUGUUGGAAAUAUGAGCAAUUUACCGAAUGAUUUUAUUAACAAAAAUACUAGAUAAAGCAUGACUAAAAUAGCAAAUAUAAAGCAAGUCAUGCAGUCUGACAGAGAGAAGGUAAACAUCGUCUGCAUAUAUGAACUUGAGCUAAACACAGCUAGAACAGACACUAGAUGAAGUUGCUUAUACGAAACAGAACCUAACAUACGUAGGGCAGAAACUAGAGCCAAGAACUAUAGCAGGACUUCUAACAGAAAGGAGAAGAACACGUACGGCACAGCAGCAGCAGAAGCGCUGGACUUGGGGUUGGUGUCCUUGCCUGCCAUGUCAUCGAGGAGGUCAUGGACGUCAGGGAAGAAGUCGUCGUCGGGGAAGUAGUCGUUGGCGACCGGAUCGUCUGUGAUGAAGCAGCCAGUAGUCGCACUAAGUGCUCCCCAAAAACCUUAUCACCCUUCUCCCGUACAGGACUCAAAAGGUGCGGUCGCGAAAGCCUACUGUCCCGACGUGCGGUGCACGCCACAAGUCGGGAUGAGGAAGACAGCAGCAGCUCAGAGAUGGAACCGAUGGCGAGGGAAGGAGCAGUUCUGGUGCGUCUCUCUGAGAGGAGCGACCUCCCUUUUAUAGGCGCAAGAGAAGGAGGCGAGAGGCUGCGCCGGGAGCUGAAGGGAAUGCGGGAGACGAAACAAACAGGCAGCAGCCGAAGGGGCGCGCCGUUCGGAUUCAGUGUCCAGGCACAGAAAAAAAAUGUUUCAGCUUCCGAGUGACCUUUCGUAUACCCGUAGUGCGUGGCAAAAAUUUAGACAUCGGCUCGGCUCAUUCCCGCAACCCGCGGCGCGGCGCAUCGUGAUGAGGCGUGGUGAGGCGGGCGGCGGAGGAGGAGCACGCGUGGAUGUCCCUCUUGUUCUCAUGCUCAUACAAGUGGGGAAGGAGCCUCCCUUAUAAAGAGGUCCAACUCCCUCUAAACUAGCAAGGUGGGACUAAACUUUAGUUCCACCUCUUGCCUUGCACGAAUGGGCUGCGUGGGCCUCUAGGAUUUAUUAGGAAUUUCUAAAAUUGCUAUUGGGCUAGGCCCAAAUAGACAAAAAUUCCAGCAAUCCCCCACCAGAUCCCAGAGGCACACAAAAUUUGCCUUUGGUUCCAAAACACUGUUUUAUAUACUGGUACAGCAGUGGAGACUGUUAAGUUGAACUUCCACCUAGAACCCUAUGCUACACUAGUAAGCAACUUGAACAGUGGACUGGGCCUUGAACUGCAAGUUUUCUGCAAAUCUAGCUUCACAUAAGGCCUUGACCGAUACGUGGCUACCGUGGGUCUUCCCCGUGGGUGGAGCUUAUGCGUCAUACUCCGUGACCUUUCAUUAGUUUACUAGAGAGAACCCUACUCUCAUAGAUUGCGACGUUUAACAAUCAGACUCAUAUAGGUGCGUUCUUCAAAAGAUGUUCUGCAGGACAACAUCUCUGCUUCAAAAAGCCACUUAGAACACAUUAAGAUAUAAAUCAACCUGCCAUGCAGAUUAGGAGAGUAUUGCAUCUUCAUGGAGUGGUAUUUUAACAGUAUGGAUACUCUCCUCUCAGUUGACCAACAACUUGUCUUCCACAUCUAAUUCACGGGAUCUCCGAUCAUAAAGAAUAGGUUACCACUAUGAACAACUCAUAUUGUGGGUCUCAUUCCCAUCUCCCUCGAUGCAUUAUCUAUCACAUUACGUGAUAGACCGUUAGUAAAAGGAUCUGCCAGAUUUUUAGACGUUUGGAUAGAAUCCAAUGCAAUAACUCUGGAGUUUUUCAUUUUUCUGACAGACUUUAACCUUCUCUGAACGUGUCUUGAUGACUUCAUGUUAUCCUUUGAGUUGCUCACUUUAGUGAUCACAGUUUGAUUGUCACAGUUCAUCCGGAUACCCGGUAUAGGUUUCUCAACUACCGGUAAGUCAUUCAAGAGCCGACGAAGCCAAUCUGCUUCGACCGUACCUGUAUCUAGUGUUGUGAGUUCUGCUUCCAUUGUUGACCUCGUUAAGAUGGUCUGCUUGCAAGACUUCCAAGAAACAGCGCCACCUCCAUGAGUGAAUACAUAACCGCUCGUGGCCUUUAUCUCAUCAGCAUCUGAGAUCCAGUUUGAGUCACUAUACCCUUCAAGCACCUUUGGAUGCCAAGUGUAGUGAAUUCCAUAAUUUGCAGUGCCUUUUAAAUAACGCAAAACUCUCUCUAGAGCUUUCCAAUGCACAUCUCCUGGUUUUGAGACAAACCGGCUUAGUUAGCUAACAGCAAAAGAGAUGUCAGGUCUCGUAGCACUGGCUAAGUACAUAAGCGAGCCAAUAAUCUGUGAAUAUUUCAAUUGGUCUCUAGUGAUUCUUCGAUUCUUUCGAAGCAACACACUAGCAUCAUAUGGUGUUGGAGAGGGCUUGCAGUCACUGUAGCCAAAGCGGCUCAAGAUCUUUUCCACAUAGUGAGAUUGAAGCAAUGUAAUCCCACAAUCAUCAUCUCUCAAAAACUUGAUGUUCAGAAUGACAUCAGCCACUCCUAAAUCCUUCAUCUCAAAACAGCAAGAUAGGAAAUCCUUGACCUCCUUAAGAACAUUCAGAUCUGUUCCGAAAAUCAGUAUGUCAUCAACAUACAAGCAAAGCAUAACUCCCUUGCCCCCACCAUGGCGAUAGUACACACAUUUGUCAGCUUCGUUCACAACAAAGCCUGCAGCUAUUAAAGUUCUUUCGAACUUCUCAUGCCACUGUUUGGGUGCUUGCUUGAGUCCAUACAAAGACUUCAGCAACUUGCACACUUUCCCUUCCUGGCCAUCUAUUACAAACCCCUCUGGUUGUUCCAUAUAAAUUUCCUCAUCCAAAUCUCCAUUUAGGAAAGCAGUCUUAACAUCCAUUUGAUGAACGAGAAGACCAUGUGAGGCAGCUAGUGAAAGUAGACCUCGAAUAGUGGUCAGUCGAGCCACAGGUGAGUAAGUAUCAAAGAAGUCUUCACCUUCCUUUUGGUUAUAACCCUUUGCCACGAGCCGAGCCUUGUACUUUUCAUUAGUACCAUCAGGCCUAAGUUUCUUCUUGAAUACCCAUUUGCAUCCUAUAGGUUUGCACCCAUAAGGACGAUCAGUUAUCUCCCAAGUUUCAUUCGCCAAGAUGGAAUCCAUCUCGCUACGAAUCGCUUCCUUCCAGUAGUCAGCAUCUUCCGAUGCAUAGGCAUCCGAAAUAGAACUGGGAGUGUCAUCUAUGAGAUACACAAGAAAAUCAUCACCAAAGGACUUUGCUGUCCUCUGUCUCUUGCUCCUAGUAGGAACUUCAUUGUUCUCCUCCGCAGGACUUUCAAAGUGUUCCAUCGAAAUGGCAGGUUCAGUAAUUGUAACUGGUUCCUGAUUCGAUGAACUAGGCAUCUCCUAAUUAGAUGAGGUAGCCAUAUCCUUCAUGGGAAUGAUAUCUUCAAAGAAAGUCGCAUCAUUCGACUCCAUGAUCGUACCGACAUGCAUGUCAGAUACCUCAGAUUUUACAACCAAGAAUCUAUAGCCAAUGCUGUGAAAAGCAUAUCCCAGGAAAACACAAUCCACAGUCUUUGGUCCAAGCUUCCGCUUCUUUGGAAUUGGAACAUUGACUUUCGCCAAGCAACCGCAUGUUCGCAGAUAAGAGAGUUUUAACCUUUUCUUCUCCCAUUCCUCGAAUGGAGUUAUCUCUUUGUUCUUUGUGGGGACUCGAUUUAGGACAUGACAUGCUGUCAAUAUCGCCUCCCCCCACCAUGCCUUGGAGAGACCCGAUGUGGCGUUAACCAAAUCAGUUAGAGUACGGUUCUUUCUUUCGGCCACCCCAUUUGACUGAGGUGAGUAGGGAGGCGUCCCCUCAUGGAUUAUACCAUGUUCUGCACAAAAAGCAUCAAAUUCAUUGGAAAAAUACUCUCCACCACGGUCAGACCUAAGCCUCUUGAUUUUUCGAUCAAGUUGGUUUUCCACUUCAGCUUUAUAGAUCUUGAAAAAGUUCAAAGCCUCAUCCUUACAUUUCAGAAGAUACACAUGGCAGUAUCUAGUGGAGUCAUUAAUUAACGUCAUGCAAUAUUUCUUUCCACCUUUUGUCAAAACACCAUUCAUUUCACAUAGAUCUGAAUGUAUAAGUUCUAGUGGUGCAAGAUUUCUCGUCUCCGUAGUCACGUGAGACUUACGAGGUUGCUUAGCUUGCACACACACUUGACACUUAGAUCCUUGACAGUGGUGAAACUAGGGAUUAAGUUCAACUUCGCUAGUCGCGACAUGCAACCAAAGUUAACAUGACAAAGACGUGAAUGCCACACAUUUGAUUCACUAUUGUUGCAAAUAUGAUUAACAACUUUAUUGCAAACGUCUGAUAAGGAUAAACGAAACAGGCCUCCUGACUCAUAGCCUUUACCAACAAAGGUCCCAUACUUGGAUAUUACAAAUUUAUUCGACUCAAAGACAAGCUUAUAGCCAUCUCUACACAGAAGAGAUCCGCUAACAAGAUUUUUAUUGACGGAGGGGACAUAAUGCACGUUCUUCAGCCGCACGAUCUUCCCUGAAGUAAACUUCAGAUCAACCAUGCCAACACCACGAACAGAAGCACUUGAACUGUUGCCCAUCAGCACGGUUGAAGUCCCUGCGGUCUGAUAAGAUGAAAACAUGGAAAUAUCACCGCAUACAUGCACAUUAGCACCCAUGUCAAUCAACCAACCAGGAGAAUGACAUACUGAAAGAAUAGUGGGAAAUAUACCAUACCCAGCAUCUUUCAUGUCAAUGUCUCCGAUGACAACAUUAGCGGUCUUGCCGCCUUUCCCAGGAUGACGCUUGUCAUAGCGAUUAGGACAACUAGGAGCCCAAUGAUCAGGAUCUCCAAACACAUGACAAGCACCUUUCUUAUUGUCAUUCUUCUUCUUGAAGUUCAUGUGCUGCACAGCCUUGUUCUUCCCAUCGAACUUUGCUUUACCAUCAAACUUGCCCUUGUUCUUGAACUUGUGGGACUGGAAGUUCUUCUUCUGUACCAGAUUGGCACUAGAUCCUCCCUCAAUACCUCGAGCACGUGUGUCCUUUGCUCUCGCCUUUUCUUCCACAUAAGAGUACCAAUGAGAUCCGGGAUGGAAAACUCCUGUCUCUUAUGCUUCAGUAAGGUAGCAAAGUUCCUCCAUGAAGGAGGAAGCUUAGUGAUGAUACCCCCGGCAACAAACUUGUCCGGUAAGAUACAAUUGAAGUGCUCAAGUUCUCUAGCAAAAGACUGUAUCUCAUGAGCCUGCUCAACCACGGAGCGCUCUUCAGUCAUCCUGUAAUCAUAGAAUUAUUCCAUGAUGUACAGCUCAGUGCCGGCAUCCGAGACCCCAAACUUGGCCUCGAGUGUGUCCCACAUAUCUUUUCAUUGUCAAUUGAAGCAUAAGCAUCAACUAUGUUCUCACCAAGAACACUCAAAAGAGCAGCCUUAAACAAGGUAUCCAUUUUCUGGAAAGCUUGUGCCUGUUGGGCAUCUUGCUCUCCUUCAGGUUUGCCAAGAGUGGCAUCAUAGAAACUCAUGGUUUGAAACCAUAAGACUGCUCUCACACGCCACUUCUUAUAGUGGAUACCCUCAAACAUAGGAGGUCUCAUGGAAGCAGCAAAAUCACUCGGGGUAAAUUGCCUAUAAUAAGGUUUUUGGAUUGUUGGAAAUAUGAGCAAUUUACCGAAUGAUUUUAUUAACAAAAAUACUAGAUAAAGCAUGACUAAAAUAGCAAAUAUAAAGCAAGUCAUGUAGUCUGACAGAGAGAAGGUAAACAUCGUCUGCAUAUAUGAACUUGAGCUAAACACAGCUAGAACAGACACUAGAUGAAGUUGCUUAUACGAAACAGAACCUAACAUACGUAGGGCAGAAACUAGAGCCAAGAACUAUAGCAGGACUUCUAACAGAAAGGAGAAGAACACGUACGGCACAGCAGCAGCAGAAGCGCUGGACUUGGGGUUGGUGUCCUCGCCUGCCAUGUCAUCGAGGAGGUCAUGGACGUCAGGGAAGAAGUCGUCGUCGGGGAAGUAGUCGUCGGCGACCGGAUCGUCUGUGAUGAAGCAGCCAGUAGUCGCACUAAGCGCUCCCCAAAAACCUUAUCACCCUUCUCCCGUACAGGACUCAAAAGGGGCGGUCGCGAAAGCCUACUGUCCCGACGUGCGGUGCACGCCACAAGUCGGGAUGAGGAAGACAGCAGCAGCUCAGAGAUGGAACCGAUGGCGAGGGAAGGAGCAGUUCUGGUGCGUCUCUCUGAGAGGAGCGACCUCCCUUUUAUAGGCGCAAGAGAAGGAGGCGAGAGGCUGCGCCGGGAGCUGAAGGGAAUGCGGGAGACGAAACGAACAGGCAGCAGCCGAAGGGGCGCGCCGUUCGGAUUCAGUGUCCAGGCACAGAAAAAAAAUGUUUCAGCUUCCGAGUGACCUUUCGUAUACCCGUAGUGCGUGGCAAAAAUUUAGACAUCGGCUCGGCUCAUUCCCGCAACCCGCGGCGCGGCGCAUCGUGAUGAGGCGUGGUGAGGCGGGCGGCGGAGGAGGAGCACGCGUGGAUGUCCCUCUUGUUCUCAUGCUCAUACAAGUGGGGAAGGAGCCUCCCUUAUAAAGAGGUCCAACUCCCUCUAAACUAGCAAGGUGGGACUAAACUUUAGUUCCACCUCUUGCCUUGCACGAAUGGGCUGCGUGGGCCUCUAGGAUUUAUUAGGAAUUUCUAAAAUUGCUAUUGGGCUAGGCCCAAAUAGACAAAAAUUCCAGCAAUCCCCCACCAGAUCCCAGAGGCACACAAAAUUUGCCUUUGGUUCCAAAACACUGUUUUAUAUACUGGUACAGCAGUGGAGACUGUUAAGUUGAACUUCCACCUAGAACCCUAUGCUACACUAGUAAGCAACUUGAACAGUGGACUGGGCCUUGAACUGCAAGUUUUCUGCAAAUCUAGCUUCACAUAAGGCCUUGACCGAUACGUGGCUACCGUGGGUCUUCCCCGUGGGUGGAGCUUAUGCGUCAUACUCCGUGACCUUUCAUUAGUUUACUAGAGAGAACCCUACUCUCAUAGAUUGCGACGUUUAACAAUCAGACUCAUAUAGGUGCGUUCUUCAAAAGAUGUUCUGCAGGACAACAUCUCUGCUUCAAAAAGCCACUUAGAACACAUUAAGAUAUAAAUCAACCUGCCAUGCAGAUUAGGAGAGUAUUGCAUCUUCAUGGAGUGGUAUUUUAACAGUAUGGAUACUCUCCUCUCAGUUGACCAACAACUUGUCUUCCACAUCUAAUUCACGGGAUCUCCGAUCAUAAAGAAUAGGUUACCACUAUGAACAACUCAUAUUGUGGGUCUCAUUCCCAUCUCCCUCGAUGCAUUAUCUAUCACAUUACGUGAUAGACCCUUAGUAAAAGGAUCUGCCAGAUUUUUAGACGUUUGGAUAUAAUCCAAUGCAAUAACUCUGGAGUUUUUCAUUUUUCUGACAGACUUUAACCUUCUCUGAACGUGUCUUGAUGACUUCAUGUUAUCCUUUGAGUUGCUCACUUUAGUGAUCACAGUUUGAUUGUCACAGUUCAUCCGGAUACCCGGUACAGGUUUCUCAACUACCGGUAAGUCAUUCAAGAGCCGACGAAGCCAAUCUGCUUCGACCGUACCUGUAUCUAGUGUUGUGAGUUCUGCUUCCAUUGUUGACCUCAUUAAGAUGGUCUGCUUGCAAGACUUCCAAGAAACAGCGCCACCUCCAUGAGUGAAUACAUAACCGCUCGUGGCCUUUAUCUCAUCAGCAUCUGAGAUCCAGUUUGAGUCACUAUACCCUUCAAGCACCUUUGGAUGCCAAGUGUAGUGAAUUCCAUAAUUUGCAGUGCCUUUUAAAUAACGCAAAACUCUCUCUAGAGCUUUCCAAUGCACAUCUCCUGGUUUUGAGACAAACCGGCUUAGUUAGCUAAUAGCAAAAGAGAUGUCAGGUCUCGUAGCACUGGCUAAGUACAUAAGCGAGCCAAUAAUCUGUGAAUAUUUCAAUUGGUCUCUAGUGAUUCUUCGAUUCUUUCGAAGCAACACACUAGCAUCAUAUGGUCUUGGAGAGGGCUUGCAGUCACUGUAGCCAAAGCGGCUCAAGAUCUUUUCCACAUAGUGAGAUUGAAGCAAUGUAAUCCCACCAUCAUCAUCUCUCAACAACUUGAUGUUCAGAAUGACAUCAGCCACUCCUAAAUCCUUCAUCUCAAAACAGCAAGAUAGGAAAUCCUUGACCUCCUUAAGAACAUUCAGAUUUGUUCCGAAAAUCAGUAUGUCAUCAACAUACAAGCAAAGCAUAACUCCCUUGCCCCCACCAUGGCGAUAGUACACACAUUUGUCAGCUUCGUUCACAACAAAGCCUGCAGCUAUUAAAGUUCUUUCGAACUUCUCAUGCCACUGUUUGGGUGCUUGCUUGAGUCCAUACAAAGACUUCAGCAACUUGCACACUUUCCCUUCCUGGCCAUCUAUUACAAACCCCUCUGGUUGUUCCAUAUAAAUUUCCUCAUCCAAAUCUCCAUUUAGGAAAGCAGUCUUAACAUCCAUUUGAUGAACGAGAAGACCAUGUGAGGCAGCUAGUGAAAGUAGACCUCGAAUAGUGGUCAGUCGAGCCACAGGUGAGUAAGUAUCAAAGAAAUCUUCACCUUCCUUUUGGUUAUAACCCUUUGCCACGAGCCGAGCCUUGUACUUUUCAUUAGUACCAUCAGGCCUAAGUUUCUUCUUGAAUACCCAUUUGCAUCCUAUAGGUUUGCACCCAUAAGGACGAUCAGUUAUCUCCCAAGUUUCAUUCGCCAAGAUGGAAUCCAUCUCGCUACGAAUCGCUUCCUUCCAGUAGUCAGCAUCUUCCGAUGCAUAGGCAUCCGAAAUAGAACUGGGAGUGUCAUCUAUGAGAUACACAAGAAAAUCAUCACCAAAGGACUUUGCUGUCCUCUGUCUCUUGCUCCUAGUAGGAACUUCAUUGUUCUCCUCCGCAGGACUUUCAAAGUGUUCCAUCGAAAUGGCAGGUUCAGUAAUUGUAACUGGUUCCUGAUUCGAUGAACUAGGCAUCUCCUAAUUAGAUGAGGUAGCCAUAUCCUUCAUGGGAAUGAUAUCUUCAAAGAAAGUCGCAUCAUUCGACUCCAUGAUCGUACCGACAUGCAUGUCAGAUACCUCAGAUUUUACAACCAAGAAUCUAUAGCCAAUGCUGUGAAAAGCAUAUCCCAGGAAAACACAAUCCACAGUCUUUGGUCCAAGCUUCCGCUUCUUUGGAAUUGGAACAUUGACUUUCGCCAAGCAACCCCAUGUUCGCAGAUAAGAGAGUUUUAACCUUUUCUUCUCCCAUUCCUCGAAUGGAGUUAUCUCUUUGUUCUUUGUGGGGACUCGAUUUAGGACAUGACAUGCUGUCAAUAUCGCCUCCCCCCACCAUGCCUUGGAGAGACCCGAUGUGGCGUUAACCAAAUCAGUUAGAGUACGGUUCUUUCUUUCGGCCACCCCAUUUGACUGAGGUGAGUAGGGAGGCGUCCUCUCAUGGAUUAUACCAUGUUCUGCACAAAAAGCAUCAAAUUCAUUGGAAAAAUACUCUCCACCACAGUCAGACCUAAGCCUCUUGAUUUUUCGAUCAAGUUGGUUUUCCACUUCAGCUUUAUAGAUCUUGAAAAAGUUCAAAGCCUCAUCCUUACAUUUCAGAAGAUACACAUGGCAGUAUCUAGUGGAGUCAUUAAUUAACGUCAUGCAAUAUUUCUUUCCACCUUUUGUCAAAACACCAUUCAUUUCACAUAGAUCUGAAUGUAUAAGUUCUAGUGGUGCAAGAUUUCUCGUCUCCGCAGUCACGUGAGACUUACGAGGUUGCUUAGCUUGCACACACACUUGACACUUAGAUCCUUGACAGUGGUGAAACCAGGGAUUAAGUUCAACUUCGCUAGUCGCGACAUGCAACCAAAGUUAACAUGACAAAGACGUGAAUGCCACACAUUUGAUUCACUAUUGUUGCAAAUAUGAUUAACAACUUUAUUGCAAACGUCUGAUAAGGAUAAACGAAACAGGCCUCCUGACUCAUAGCCUUUACCAACAAAGGUCCCAUACUUGGAUAUUACAAAUUUAUUCGACUCAAAGACAAGCUUAUAGCCAUCUCUACACAGAAGAGAUCCGCUAACAAGAUUUUUAUUGACGGAGGGGACAUAAUGCAUGUUCUUCAGCCGCACGAUCUUCCCUGAAGUAAACUUCAGAUCAACCAUGCCAACACCACGAACAGAAGCACUUGAACUGUUGCCCAUCAGCACGGUUGAAGUCCCUGCGGUCUGAUAAGAUGAAAACAUGGAAAUAUCACCGCAUACAUGCACAUUAGCACCCAUGUCAAUCAACCAACCAGGAGAAUGACAUACUGAAAGAAUAGUGGGAAAUAUACCAUACCCAGCAUCUUUCAUGUCAAUGUGUCCGAUGACAACAUUAGCGGUCUUGCCGCCUUUCCCAGGAUGACGCUUGUCAUAGCGAUUAGGACAACUAGGAGCCCAAUGAUCAGGAUCUCCAAACACAUGACAAGCACCUUUCUUCUUGUCAUUCUUCUUCUUGAAGUUCAUGUGCUGCACAGCCUUGUUCUUCCCAUCGAACUUUGCUUUACCAUCAAACUUGCCCUUGUUCUUGAACUUGUGGGACUGAAAGUUCUUCUUCUGUACCAGAUUGGCACUAGAUCCUCCCUCAAUACCUCGGGCACGUGUGUCCUUUGCUCUCGCCUUUUCUUCCACAUAAGAGUACCAAUGAGAUCCGGGACGGAAAACUCCUGUCUCUUAUGCUUCAGUAAGGUAGCAAAGUUCCUCCAUGAAGGAGGAAGCUUAGUGAUGAUACCCCCGGCAACAAACUUGUCCGGUAAGAUACAAUUGAAGUUCUCAAGUUCUCUAGCAAAAGACUGUAUCUCAUGAGCCUGCUCAACCAUGGAGCGCUCUUCAGUCAUCCUGUAAUCAUAGAAUUAUUCCAUGAUGUACAGCUCAGUGCCGGCAUCCGAGACCCCAAACUUGGCCUCGAGUGUGUCCCACAUAUCUUUUCAUUGUCAAUUGACGCAUAAGCAUCAACUAUGUUCUCACCAAGAACACUCAAAAGAGCAGCCUUAAACAAGGUAUCCAUUUUCUGGAAAUCUUGUGCCUGUUGGGCAUCUUGCUCUCCUUCAGGUUUGCCAAGAGUGGCGUCAUAGAAACUCAUGGUUUGAAACCAUAAGACUGCUCUCACACGCCACCUCUUAUAGUGAAUACCCUCAAACAUAGGAGGUCUCAUGGAAGCAGCAAAAUCACUCAGGGUAAAUUGCCUAUAAUAAGGUUUUUGGAUUGUUGGAAAUAUGAGCAAUUUACCGAAUGAUUUUAUUAACAAAAAUACUAGAUAAAGCAUGACUAAAAUAGCAAAUAUAAAGCAAGUCAUGCAGUCUGAGAGAUAGAAGGUAAACAUCGUCUGCAUAUAUGAACUUGAGCUAAACACAUCUAGAACAGACACUAGAUGAAGUUGCUUAUACGAAACAGAACCUAACAUACGUAGGGCAAAAUCUAGAGCCAAGAACUGUAGCAGGACUUCUAACAGAAAGGAGAAGAACACGUACGGCACAGCAGCAGCAGAAGCGCUGGACUUGGGUUGCUGUCCUCGCCUGCCAUGUCAUCGAGGAGGUCAUGGACGUCAGGGAAGAAGUCGUCGUCGGCGGGGAAGUAGUCGUCGGCGACCGGAUCGUCUGUGAUGAAGCAGCCAGUAGUCGCACUGAGCACUCCCCAAAAACCUUAUCACCCUUCUCUCGUACAAGACUCAAAAGGUGCGGUCGCGAAAGCCUACUGUCCCGACGUGCGGUGCACGCCGCAAGUCGGGAUGAGGAAGACAGCAGCAGCUCAGAGAUGGAACCGAUGGCGAGGGAAGGAGCAGUUCUGGUGCGUCUCUCUGAGAGGAGCGACCUCCCUUUUAUAGGCGCAAGAGAAGGAGGCGAGAGGCUGCGCCGAGAGCUGAAGGGAAUGCGGGAGACGAAACGAACAGGCAGCAGCCGAAGGGGCGCACCAUUCGGAUUCAGUGUCCAGGCACAGAAAAAAAAUGUUUCAGCUUUCGAGUGACCUUUCGUAUACCCGUAGUGCGUGGCAAAAAUUUAGACAUCGGCUCGGCUCAUUCCCGCAACCCGCGGCGCGGCGCAUCGUGACGAGGCGUGGUGAGGCAGGCGGCGGAGGAGGAGCGCACGUGGAUGUCCCUCUUGUUCUCAUGCUCAUACAAGUGGGGAAGGAGCCUCCCUUAUAAAGAGGUCCAACUCCCUCUAAACUAGCAAGGUGGGACUAAACUUUAGUUCCACCUCUUGCCUUGCACGAAUGGGCUGCAUGGGCCUCUAGGAUUUAUUAGGAAUUUCUAAAAUUGCUAUUGGGCUAGGCCCAAAUAGACAAAAAUUCCAGCAAUCCCCCACCAGAUCCCAGAGGCACAAAAAAUUUGCCUUUGGUUCCAAAACACUGUUUUAUAUACUGGUACAGCAGUGGAGACUGUUAAGUUGAACUUCCACCUAGAACCCUAUGCUACACUAGUAAGCAACUUGAACAGUGGACUGGGCCUUGAACUGCAAGUUUUCUGCAAAUCUAGCUUCACAUAAAGCCUUGACCGAUACGUGGCUACCGUGGGUCUUCCCCGCGGGUGGAGCUUAUGCGUCAUACUCCAUGACCUUUCAUUAGUUUACUAGAGAGAACCCUACUCUCAUAGAUUGCGACGUUUAACAAUCAGACUCAUAUAGGUGCGUUCUUCAAAAGAUGUUCUGCAGGACAACAUCUCUGCUUCAAAAAGCCACUUAGAACACAUUAAGAUAUAAAUCAACCUGCCAUGCAGAUUAGGAGAGUAUUGCAUCUUCAUGGAGUGGUAUUUUAACAGUAUGGAUACUCUCCUCUCAGUUGACUAACAGCUUGUCUUCCACAUCUAAUUCACGGGAUCUCCGAUCAUAAAGAAUAGAUUACCACUGUGAACAACUCAUAUUGUGGGUCUCAUUCCCAUCUCCCUCGAUGCAUUAUCUAUCACAUUACGUGAUAGACCCUUAGUAAAAGGAUCUGCCAGAUUUUUAGACGUUUGGAUAUGAUCCAAUGCAAUAACUCUGGAGUUUUUCAUUUUUCUGACAGACUAACCUUCUCUGAACGUGUCUUGAUGACUUCAUGUUAUCCUUUGAGUUGCUCACUUUAGUGAUCACAGUUUGAUUGUCACAGUUCAUCCGGAUACCCGAUACAGGUUUCUCAACUACCGGUAAGUCAUUCAAGAGCAGACGAAGCCAAUCCGCUUCAACCGUACAUGUAUCUAGUGUUGUGAGUUCUACUUCCAUUGUUGACCUCGUUAGAUGGUCUGCUUGCAAGACUUCCAAGAAACAGCGCCACCUCCAUGAGUGAAUACAUAACCGCUCGUGGCCUUUAUCUCAUCAACAUCUGAGAUCCAGUUUGAGUUACUAUACCCUUCAAGCACCUUUGGAUGCCCAGUGUAGUGAAUUCCAUAAUUUGCAGUGCCUUUCAAAUAACGCAAAACUCUCUCUAGAGCUUUCCAAUGCACAUCUCCUGGUUUUGAGACAAACCGGCUUAGUUAGCUAACAGCAAAAGAGAUGUCAGGUCUCAUAGCACUGGCUAAGUACAUAAGCGAGCCAAUAAUCUGUGAAUAUUUCAAUUGGUCUCUAGCGAUUCUUCGAUUCUUUCGAAGCAACACACUAGCAUCAUAUGGUGUUGGAGAGGGCUUGCAGUCACUAUAGCCAAAGCGGCUCAAGAUCUUUUCCACAUAGUGAGAUUGAAGCAAUGUAAUCCCACCAUCAUCAUCUCUCAACAACUUGAUGUUCAGAAUGAGAUCAGCCACUCCUAAAUCCUUCAUCUCAAAACAGCAAGAUAGGAAAUCCUUGACCUCCUUAAGAACAUUCAGAUUUGUUCCGAAAAUCAGUAUGUCAUCAACAUACAAGCAAAGCAUAACUCCCUCGCCCCCACCAUGGCGAUAGUACACACAUUUGUCAGCUUCGUUCACAACAAAGCCUGCAGCUAUUAAAGUUCUUUCGAACUUCUCAUGCCACUGUUUGGGUGCUUGCUUGAGUCCAUACAAAGACUUCAGCAACUUGCACACUUUCCCUUCCUGGCCAUCUAUUACAAACCCCUCUGGUUGUUCCAUAUAAAUUUCCUCAUCCAAAUCUCCAUUUAGGAAAGCAGUCUUAACAUCCAUUUGAUGAACGAGAAGACCAUGUGAGGUAGCUAGUGAAAGUAGACCUCGAAUAGUGGUCAGUCGAGCCACAGGUGAGUAAGUAUCAAAGAAGUCUUCACCUUCCUUUUGGGUAUAACCCUUUUCCAUGAGCCAAGCCUUGUACUUUUCAUUAGUACCAUCAGGCCUAAGUUUCUUCUUGAAUACCCAUUUGCAUCCUAUAGGUUUGCACCCAUAAGGACGAUCAGUUAUCUCCCAAGUUUCAUUCGCCAAGAUGGAGUCCAUCUCGCUACGAAUCGCUUCCUUCCAGUAGUCAGCAUCUUCCGAUGCAUAGGCAUCCGAAAUAGAACUGGGAGUGUCAUCUAUGAGAUACACAAGAAAAUCAUCAGCAAAGGACUUUGCUGUCCUCUGUCUCUUGCUCCUAGUAGGAACUUCAUUGUUCUCCUCCGCAGGACUUUCAAAGUGUUCCAUCGAAAUGGCAGGUUCAGUAAUUGUAACUGGUUCCUGAUUCGAUGAACUAGGCAUCUCCUAAUUAGAUGAGGUAGCCAUAUCCUUCAUGGGAAUGAUAUCUUCAAAGAAAGUCGCAUCAUUCGACUCCAUGAUCGUACCGACAUGCAUGUCAGAUACCUCAGAUUUUACAACCAAGAAUCUAUAGCCAAUGCUGUGAAAAGCAUAUCCCAGGAAAACACAAUCAACAGUCUUUGGUCCAAGCUUCCGCUUCUUUGGAAUUGGAACAUUGACUUUCGCCAAGCAACCCCAUGUUCGCAGAUAAGAGAGUUUUAACCUUUUCUUCUCCCAUUCCUCGAAUGGAGUUAUCUCUUUGUUCUUUGUGGGGACUCGAUUUAGGACAUGACAUGCUGUCAAUAUCGCCUCCCCCCACCAUGCCUUGGAGAGACCCGAUGUGGCGUUAACCAAAUCAGUUAGAGUACGGUUCUUUCUUUCGGCCACCCCAUUUGACUGAGGUGAGUAGGGAUGCGUCCUCUCAUGGAUUAUACCUUGUUCUGCACAAAAAGCAUCAAAUUCAUUGGAAAAAUACUCUCCACCACGGUCAGACCUAAGCCUCUUGAUUUUUCGAUCAAGUUGGUUUUCCACUUCAGCUUUAUAGAUCUUGAAAAAGUUCAAAUCCUCAUCCUUACAUUUCAGAAGAUACACAUGGCAGUAUCUAGUGGAGUCGUUAAUUAACGUCAUGAAAUAUUUCUUUCCACGUUUUGUCAAAACACCAUUCAUUUCACAUAGAUCUGAAUGUAUAAGUUCUAGUGGUGCAAGAUUUCUCGUCUCCGCAGUCAUGUGAGACUUACGAGGUUGCUUAGCUUGCACACACACUUGACACUUAGAUCCCUUGACAGUGGUGAAACUAGGGAUUAAGUUCAACUUCGCUAGCCGCGACAUGCAACCAAAGUUAACAUGACAAAGACGUGAAUGCCACACAUUUGAUUCACUAUUGUUGCAAAUAUGAUUAACAACUUUAUUGCAAAUGUCUGAUAAGGAUAAACGAAACAGGCUUCCUGACUCAUAGCCUUUGCCAACAAAAGUUCCAUACUGGGAUAUUACAAAUUUAUUCGACUCAAAUACAAGCUUAUAGCCAUCUCUACACAGAAGAGAUCCGCUAACAAGAUUGUUAUUGACGGAGGGGACAUAAUGCACGUUCUUCAGCCGCACGAUCUUCCCCGAAGUAAACUUCAGAUCGACCAUGCCAACACCACGAACAGAAGCACUUGAACCGUUGCCCAUCAGCACGGUUGAAGUCCCUGCGGUCUGAUCAGAUGAAAACAUGGAAAUAUCACUGCAUACAUGCACAUUAGCACCCAUGUCAAUCAACCAAUCAGGAGAAUGACAUACUGAAAGAAUAGUGGGAAAUAUACCAUACCCAGCAUCUUUCAUGUCAAUGUCUCCGAUGACAACAUUAGCGGUCUUGCCGCCUUUCCCAGGAUGACGCUUGUCAUAGAGAUUAGGACAAAUAGGAGCCCAAUGAUCAGGCUCUCCACACACAUGACAAGCACCUUUCUUCUUGUCAUUCUUCUUCUUGAAGUUCGUGUGCUGCACAGCCUUGUUCUUCCCAUCGAACUUUGCUUUACCAUCAAACUUGCCCUUGUUCUAGAACUUGUGGGACUGGAAGUUCUUCUUCUGUACUAGAUUGGCACUAGAUCCUCCCUCAAUACCUCGAGCACGUGUGUCCUUUGCUCUCGCCUUUUCUUCCACAUCAAGAGUACCAAUGAGUUCCGGGACGGAAAACUCCUGUCUCUUAUGCUUCAGUAAGGUAGCAAAGUUCCUCCACGAAGGAGGAAGCUUAGUGAUGAUACCCCCGGCAACAAACUUGUCCGGUAAGAUACAAUUGAAGUGCUCAAGUUCUCUAGCAAAGGACUGUAUCUCAUGAUCCUGCUCAACCACGGAGCGCUCUUCAGUCAUCAUGUAAUCAUAGAAUUGCUCCAUGAUGUACAAUUCAGUGCCGGCAUCCGAGACCCCAAACUUGGCCUCAAGUGCGUCCCACAUAUCUUUUCUAUUGUCAAUUGACGCAUAAGCAUCAACUAUGUUCUCACCAAGAACACUCAAAAGAGCAGCCUUAAACAAGGUAUCCAUUUUCAGAAAAGCUUGUGCCUGUUGGGCAUCUUGCUCUCCUUCAGGUUUGCCAAGAGUGGCGUCAUAGCAACUCAUGGUUUGAAACCAUAAGACUGCUCUCACGCGCCACCUCUUAUAGUGGAUACCCUCAAACAUACGAGCUCUCAUGGAAGCAGCAAAACCACUCGGGGUAAAUUGCCUAUAAUAAGGUUUUUGGAUUGUUGGAAAUAUGAGCAAUUUACCGAAUGAUUUUAUUAACAAAAAUACUAGAUAAAGCAUGACUAAAAUAGCAAAUAUAAAACAAGUCAUGCAGUCUGACAGAGAGAAGGUAAACAUCGUCUGCAUAUAUGAACUUGAGCUAAACACAUCUAGAACAUACACUAGAUGAAGUUGCUUAUACGAAACAGAACCUAACAUACGUAGGGCAGAAACUAGAGCCAAGAACUGUAGCAGGACUUCUAACAGAAAGGAGAAGAACACGUACGGCAUAGCAGCAGCAGAAGCGCUGGACUUCGGGUCGGUGUCCUCGCCUGCCAUGUCGUCGAGGAGGUCGUGGACGUCGGGGAAGAAGUCGUCGUCGGGGAAGUAGUCGUCGGCGACCGGAUCGUCCGUGAUGAAGCAGCCAGUAGUCGCGCUGAGCGCUCCCCAAAAACCUUAUCACCCUUCUCCCGUACAGGACUCAAAAGGUGCGGUCUCGGAGGCCUACUAUCCCGACGUGCGGUGCACGCCGCAAGUCGGGAUGAGGAAGACAGCAGCAGCUCAGAGAUGGAACCGAUGGCGAGGGAAGGAGCAGUUCUGGUGCGUCUCUCUGAGAGGAGCGACCUCCCUUUUAUAGGCGCAAGAGAAGGAGGCGAGAGGCUGCGCCGGGAGCUGAAGGGAAUGCGGGAGACGAAACGAACAUGCAGCAGCCGAAGGGGCGCGCCUUCGGAUUCAGUGUCCAGGCACAGAAAAAAAUGUUUCAGCUUCCGAGUGACCUUUCGUAUACCCGUAGUGCGUGGCAAAAAUUUAGACAUCGGCUCGGCUCAUUCCCGCAACCCGCGGCGCGGCAUGACGAGGCGUGGUGAGGCGGGCGGCGGAGGAGGAGCGCGCGUGGAUGUCCCUCUUGUUCUCAUGCUCAUACAAGUGGAGAAGGAGCCUCCCUUAUAAAGAGGUCCAACUCCCUCUAAACUAGCAAGGUGGGACUAAACUUUAGUUCCACCUCUUGCCUUGCACGAAUGGGCUGCGUGGUCCUCUAGGAUUUAUUAGGAAUUUCUGAAACUGCUAUUGUGCUAGGCCCAAAUAGACAAAAAUUCCAGCAGUUUGUGUUCUUCAGGUCUCCACUUGCCAUGAUAUUGCGGCUGGGCUUCGGGUAUGUGUUACCACUGAUACAUCAUUCCAAACUACUAAUGAAUUGGUCUCUGAUGUCUUCUUCUCAAUUUUAACUAGGGCCUGCUUCUGUUUGCACCAAUUCGAGAUAGUGGUUGUGGAAUGCAGCAGCCAAGACAACAAGGUCAGGCUCGGCUUAGGUAUGAUGACAAACAAAAUUAGAUUCGGAUGGUUCCUUACAUCUUCCUCUCAGAAUCAAGAGUGAUAAUACUUUUUUGGUGCUCCGGCUUCUGCAGUUUCUGAAGAACUGAUUCGUUGUUCAGGCAUUUCAUGCAUUUGGAGUUCACAGGUAUCUAAGUUUCUCUGACUGUGUUUUCAAAUAAUUGAUACUUGACAUUAGGAUUUUUGGCUGAACAAAUCAUCUUAGACAUAAGUAGAACCCGGCAAAUUGUGAGACAGAGCUAAUUGAUACACAGUUUAGAAAAUAGAACUGAACAAUUCUUGGUAGUCACUAUUGAUUAGCUAUGUGCGUACCUUAAGUUCCUUACUACUUAUUUUAAUUGUUAGUACUUGAAGGUUUGAAUAAUUAUUAUUACCAAGUUACAUGUUGAUCACUACUUAUUAUGAAAAUGUAUGUCCAUGGUUUAAAGGAGCUUUAUUGUUUCAGUCUAUACUAAGUUAUUUGUCGGUUAUACUGGAGCUUAUAUUGUUCCCUCUUUGAUCUAGACAUCAAAUAUUCUAAGCUUCAUUUUUGUGAGCAAACGGUUCUAUGCUUCCUUUUUGUGAACAUUGCUCCAUAAAUAGUAGUGGCAUUUACUAUGCAGAUGAUACUGACAAAUUAUCAUACAAGUCCGCAUUAAUAUUCAGUCAGUAGGUUAUUGAAGAAGGCCGGAGAUCGCGUGGAGCACCAACAAUAACCUCAAGUAGAUGCAGCAGAGACAUGUGAUGAACUAUCAUAUGUUUCCUAAUCUGAAUGUUUGCUCCAAUCGCUUGAUUGUUUGAUCUGGUUUGUUGUGACAAUACAAUGAUUUUCUAUGUUCUUUUUGUGGUGCAAUCUCCGUUGAUUUGGAAAGAUGGGGACUUUCUGUUGAGCUAUUUCGAUCGGCCAUUGGCCAUAACAUUCCAAAUUCCUUAUUUUGUUUCCUCUUUUUCGCGGCUUCAUUUUACGUGUCUCACUAAAGGUGGGCAUGACUUGAAAAGGGAGGCAAACAAAACUGCCAAGAUGCAUCUCUUUUGCAGCAGAAGAAGAGGCACUGAUGAGAGGUGGAAAAGGAGGGGCAAAGAAGGAAGCCAUGGGCAUGUGCCGCCUACCGACCAUGAAUAUCAACAAUGACAAUGACGACUAGCUUGUGUGCGUGUGAGAGAGGGAGGGAGAGGGAGUCAAAACAAAAUGAUGUAUAUCUUUACUACAUUAUAAAAUGGGAUUUGGUGAGCUAUUUGUCCUUUAUGAUUCAUGAGAUUUUAAUUCUAUAGUGUUUUUUGCUCUUAAUAUAUUAUUGUGGUUAUAGAUUUAUCAUUGACACAAUAUAUGUAGAAACUUUUUUGAUCUAAAUAAGAAGAACAAAAGUUUACGGGAUGCUUUUUGAUCGUUCCCUUUACCUAGCUUCCAAUUUCUAUUGUCAGAAACACAUUUUUUUUGUUCCUAUAGGAAACAUAUGCAAAUAAAAGAUUUGCCGAAGCUUUUUGAGUCCCUGAUGCAUACUAAAUACAGUCCUAGAACAAUAUGCUUAUGCAUAAUAACAAGCUGGAAAAUUGCUCCAAAAUAACACUUAAAACAUAUAAAAGAACAAAAAAAUCCAUUCUGAAUUCUAAAAUGAUCUUUCAAUGUAUGCAGCAAACUGCUUCCUUUAUAAUCUGACAAAACUCGCAGGACUUAUCAUGACGCAUGAAAGGAUAUAGUAAACCAUCACACCGAAGCCGAGGUUGGCUUUGUUUCCUUAUUUUUGCGAGAAGGUGUCAUAGUUCUACUAUUUUGAUUAGCCAUCUAGAGGGAUGACAGUGCAUGCAAUCAUUUAAAUAAAAUAAUACAAAGAUGCUGCAUGAGUCAUCAAUUCAAACAAGAACUUGUUUCAUGUGAUUUUUUGUGUAAAGUGGAAACAAAUUAUUUUUAUAACAACUAAUUCGACAACACAAGUGCUACACCGUGAUCAGUAUAUGCAUAUGAUACGAUCUAGCUAUUUUCCUUUGCACGGGUGGUUUUUAUCAUGAGGUAGGAGGGUUCGUACAAGUCGACUAUCAGCUCUCAUGCAAUGCUUUAAAAAGAAAAACGAGAGGAAUUUGUGAAUUUUUGUAUAACAUUGCAAAUUAUAUGAAAAAACUUUUUAAUUUGUCAGAACUUUUAGGAGGGAGUGAGUGGCAAAUGUUGGAAGACAUUCAAAGUUAGGAUGAUGGGAAUGCCUAUGGCAAUUUGGAGAACUUGGAGAAAACAUAUGCGAACUUGAGCUAGGUAGCAAUGUAGAGCUUAAUUAAGCUAAAUGGUUCAUAUUCAUUUGUUAGUCCAUGAGUUCGAGAUGAUGGACUCAACAAUUGGAUAGAUUUGGAGGGAACACGAAUUUGGAGUAGUGUGACAACAUAGCGAAGUAAUGACACAAUGGUCGAAGGGCUGAAGUUGAGGGGCUUGUGAUAGAUCCAUUUGUUGGCCCGUGGCUGCGCACGGGCGUUCUACUAGUAAUCAUUGGUGGCUUCUUUGACCACCAGACGGCUUAUUGACUUCUUCCACUCGAGGAUCACCGUGGAGCAAUCCUUCUUCCCCUUCCUACAGAAGCACGCCAACCACAAACAAAUGCUCAAAAAGACCUUAGCAAAUGCCAUUGAACUAGAUUGUAGGCAAGAGGAAUCUUAUUAGUUGGUAGAUGUAGAUGUCGAGGCCUCAUCAUUGCUUGCCAGAGGCCUCAUGUGUAUGUCGUGCGUCCCACCAGAGGCCUCUUUUAAUUAGAGGAAGGGCGGUGCGGAGAAGACAUCAUUAGUCACCCUGGGAGAAGAAAGUUCGGUGGCGGUGCGUGUAAAGAGGAGACUUUGGUAGUUUCUGGUGGAGUUGUGGUAGCCGUAGGGACGACGAGAGUGAGAGAGGACUGGGGACGGAGGAGAGGUGAUGGAUGGAAAAAAAUUGGGUGAUUGAGGACGAAAACCAAGAUGAAAANNNNNNNNNNNNNNNNNNNNNNNNNNNNNNNNNNNNNNNNNNNNNNNNNNNNNNNNNNNNNNNNNNNNNNNNNNNNNNNNNNNNNNNNNNNNNNNNNNNNNNNNNNNNNNNNNNNNNNNNNNNNNNNNNNNNNNNNNNNNNNNNNNNNNNNNNNNNNNNNNNNNNNNNNNNNNNNNNNNNNNNNNNNNNNNNNNNNNNNNNNNNNNNNNNNNNNNNNNACUAGAUGUCUCUGUAGUGAAGUAAUAUGAGCAUAACUUAAUUGAUCAGUGUAAAACUUUGAAUUGGUUAAGUAUACUACACUAAAGUAAGUUGUAAAGCCUAAUUGCAAUUAUAUCUUUGAGGGCAAUGCUUAUGAGUUGCGUGACAAUCUUGUCUGUUCUGGAUCUUGCAUCUGAUUCUAAUUAAACAGUACAUGUUAGAUGUUUUUAAUGAGGUCCACGUUAGAUUUGAUUGUUAAUUUAUAGUGCGGGUGAAAGCGGAUUCUAUCCUUUUCGUCUGCCAUUUUUCCUUUCAUAAAAUGUGUCCAUGGAGUAAUUCUCCACAAAAACAAACUUAACUGGACAAAAUAUCCACGGCAAGUCGCAUAUCUUGUGCAACUGUUCACUGUUGAAAGCUUAUUGUGCCACUACCCAUCAUUGCAAGGAAAAAAUACAGAAGAUUUAUGUUCUACCAAAUACAUUCUUUUGUUCAGAUUUAGCCAGGUAUGAUCCUGGUUGCGUCAGCCAUUAGAGUACAUUGCGAUCGACUAGACAGUUUCAGUGCUCAUCUUGCCUACUUUUGCAGCACUAGAUUUGCGAUCAGGUAGAUAAACACAACAACAAAGGAGACGACAGAUGCCAGCGGCCCAUAUUUCCCAAGAAUUCUCUGUGGGUUAAUUCCAUAAUACGGAUUGAAUUCUCUACUGGCACGGAAUCCAGCAACAAGGGCCACACCAUGCUGACACUAGCAGCUAUGUGUUGCUCCCGUGGGCAAGACCUGCCCAAGGAGGAUAGGUAAGAGAAAUGGCUGAAGACACACCAACACCUGGCAACAUGUAGGUUCAUAUUUCACCCCCACCCUUGGAUAAAACCGUGAAUCAUUUGAAACAUAUUAAAACUUGAGUGCAUUUUUUAUUUUGGAGAAAUAUAUAUGCUCACAAGAGCUUAGGAGUCACACGUCGGUUCUAGGUAAUUAAACAAACAAGAACAUUCACUUGUUGAGAAAUUUUACCACCUCUUCUUGCUUCUUUUAUGACACUAGAACUUGACGGGCUUUGGGUCACCUCCUUUUCGGUUUAUAAGGCUUGCGCGUAUCUCUAGGUUGACAAAUAGACCAACUUAAUACAAGUUGUAUAUCACAAAAAAUAUAUAAUUAGGAACUUCAAAUCGUAUACUUUCUAAUGGUAUAAUUUUUAGACUAUACAACUCAUGUUAUGUUGGUCAAGUUAUAGAUCCAGGGAUAUGUACAAGCCUUAUAAACCGGAAAGGAGGUAUGUUAGUAGAUAAACAUGCCAAUUAAGGACUUCUUGACAAGUCUAUGCAGAUUAAAGGUAUGUUAGUAGAUGGUGUAAUAAAUACAUGCUUUUAGCUAUCUAAGGAUACAAAUAUGCCACUAUUUACUUUGUAAAUGCUCGAAAUCAUUCUCAGAAAUUUUAGUAACAACAGUUGUCAUGAACAACUUGGACUAAAUGCAUCAAAUGUUACAAAUAAUACAUAAAAACAUUCAAAUGUACUUAGAGUGAAUCAAUUAAGACGUGUAAAGCUAGUACUAAUCCAAUAUUUCUUAAUGACUUGCAUAUACUUACAACACUUGACGUAAAGAGUGAAUCAAUUAAGACGUGCAAAGCCAGUACUAAUCCAAUUUUAUUAAUAGCUUCCACAAAAUUACAACACGUGGCGUAAAAAGGGAAUAUGAUGAGUCAUGUAUUGAUAACGUGUACAACAUUACUACCCUUGACAUAAAAAGAGAAGUUGAUGAGUCAUGUCUUAAUAACGUGUACAACAUUACUAUCAGCUUGUUCAUCUUACCAUCAUACUAUACAACACUAUAAGUUAGUUUAAAAAAGAAUAAGAGUCCAGAACAAACAUCACAAUACUAGCCUGAUCUAUAUUAACAACAUGCACAAGGACACAAAUUUAGUUCCCCGCAAGCUAUGAAGAUUUGGUUUAUGUCUAACAACUUGUACAAUAUGACAAACUUAGAUCCAAAAGGAAUGCAAACCAGAUAAUUGUAAUGCAAUCCAGAUAAUUAUUUGACAUGCAAAGUGAAUAAGAUGAGUCACUACCAAUUAUCAAGUUUUCCUCACUCUUAGAUGAUAUGAACCAUAAAAAGGCAACUUUGAUGAUCACUCCAUAAUUACGUUUGUAUGUAGUGCCACCAAACACAACACACAAAAUAAUUAGUUCGAUAAGCAUCGAAUCACUUUAAAAAGGAAAGCAAAAAUGGAAAGAAACCUAACCAUGGGAGCUAUAAAAAGGCCUGCAAUAUGUAGACUCCAUACCAUCAUCCAUCCUUCACACAACUAGAGCACAAGUAUCAAAUCCAAGUACGUAGUGGUUAACGCAAAUUAACCAUGAAGACCUUACUCAUCCUAACAAUCCUUGUGAUGGCAGUAACCAUCGGCACCGCCAAUAUGCAGGUCGACCCUAGCGGCCAAGUACAAUGGCCACAACAACAACCAGUCCUGCUGCCUCAGCAACCAUUCUCCCAGCAACCACAACAAACAUUUCCCCAACCCCAACAAACAUUCCCCCAUCAACCACAACAACAAUUUCCCCAGCCUCAACAACCACAACAACAAUUUCUCCAGCCACAACAACCAUUCCCCCAACAACCACAACAACCAUAUCCCCAGCAACCACAACAACCAUUCCCCCAGACUCAACAACCCCAACAACUAUUUCCCCAGUCCCAGCAACCACAACAACCAUAUCCCCAGCAACCACAACAACCAUUCCCCCAGACUCAACAACCCCAACAACAAUUUCCCCAAUCCCAGCAACCACAAUAACCAUUUCCCCAACCCCAACAACCGCAACAAUCAUUCCCCCAGCAACAACCAUCGUUCAUUCAGCCAUCUCUACAACAACAGCUGAACCCAUGCAAGAAUUUACUCUUGCAGCAAUGCAGACCUGUGUCAUUGGUCUCAUCCCUCUGGUCAAUGAUCUGGCCACAAAGCGCUUGCCAAGUGAUGAGGCAACAAUGCUGCCAACAACUAGCACAGAUUCCUCAGCAGCUCCAGUGUGCAGCCAUCCAUAGCGUCGUGCAUUCCAUCAGCAUGUAGCAAGAACAACAACAACAACAACAACAACAACAACAACAACAACAACAACAACAACAACAACAACAACAACAACAACAACAACAACAACAACAACAACAAGGCAUGCGUAUCCUGCUGCCACUAUAUCAGCAACAACAGGUGGGUCAAGGUACUCUCGUCCAGGGCCAGGGCAUCAUCCAACCCCAACAACCAGCUCAAUUGGAGGCGAUCAGGUCAUUGGUGUUGCAAACUCUUCCAACCAUGUGCAACGUGUAUGUCCCACCUGAGUGCUCUAUCAUCAAGGCACCAUUUGCCAGCAUAGUCACCGGAAUUGGUGGCCAAUGAAAAACGCAAGAGCCAUACUAAUAGGUAGAUGGAUCAUCGUUGCUUAGCUGAUUUACCAAUCGAUGUAACGAUGCCAAAUAAACUGGUGUGCACCAUCAUGUGUCAUCCUGACCAGUGCUAGUUCAAGAUUGGGAAUAAAAGAGAAGAACGUUCAUGUUUGCCAACAUUGCUUGUCAUUGUUCCAUUCACUGUGUAUUUAUAUUUUCAUCCUGAACUGCAAUUCUAGUCUUACACAUCAAUAGCUAGUUGCUCAUGUCGGCAGGUUCCUAUGUAAUCUAAUGAUUAAUGGUCGACCUAUUAAUCUAGUUUAUCGGCCGAUUGAUCUAUUAAUUGGUGCUCCCAAGCCGACCGAGCAGCCAUCAGUUACCGAUUUCCUGAACAUUGCACACAAUAAUAAUUCAACGUAUUUCAAUGUCUAGAAGUAAAAGGGCCAUAUAAGCAGUAAAACAAGCGCCUGAUUAGAAACCAUCCAUCACUUUAAAUUAAUCUAGAUAUUUUUGUGUUGGUGCAAUUUUGAGUUGAUGGCACCGACACAUUCUUGAAAGAAAUUCUACAGGGAACUCCAAAGAGGUGAAAAUCAAACUAAAGUUGCCACAUGGUAAAAGAUAAAUCAUGCGGCAAGCAAGAGGAAAUAUUGAGUCACAAUAGCUAGCGCCAAACAUGUAAUUAAACUAUUCUUAUGGUUUCUUGCAAAGAGGGAAGUAAUUUACAGAUGACAAACAAAACGUAAUUAGCAUUAGUUCUAAUUGAUUGUAGAAAUUUCUUUUAUCGGUAGAAUAACUCAGUUGUUAUUUAUUUAAACAUGCACUGUGAUAUUGACUUAUCUCAAUCUAGGAACACAAAGCAAAUACUACAUUUGCUGCUAUGGACUCCAAACAGAUGAGAAAUCAUUAUGUGUAGAAGUUCCUUAGAAGGAUAUUUUGGCCUAAACAAAUUUAACAUUGUACUCGUGUCUUACAUAGUUAAAGCUGAAAAAUCAACAUAACCAGUGGACACUUUGUAAGACAAGUGUGGGAAACAAAUAGUAGGAUAUAAAUUUGAGUAGAAUGUUUGCUCAAAUGUUGAAAAAAUAACCCAGCAAACUAAAACUCAGCAAAACAGUCUAUUCUACCUUAUACGGACUGUCACAAUGAUAAUGCUAUGUUUUUUUGGAAUACAAAUUCAAAAAAAAUCAGCCACAGAUCCCUGAGCCCAUCCAACAGGAGAGCUUCAAUUGAAAGAAGUAUUAGUUCGAUUAGACCAUGUAGUACCUAAAGGAGGAUGGUGGCCCCAUGGAACAACUCCAGCCUUUCCAUUGUGUCCGGGCGCAAUGCGAUAAUGGAGUUAUGGUCAUUGGUGGCUUCGCUGGCCAUAGACGGCUUAUUGACUUCUUCCACUUGAGGAUCACCGUGAACCAGUCCUUCUUCCCCAUCCUACAUAAGCAUGCCAACCACAAAUAAAUGCUCAAAAAGACCAUCUUAAAUGUCAUUGAACCGGAUUAUGGGAGGCAGAAUCUUAUGACUCGGUGGAUGCAGAUAUCGAGGCCUCAUUUGUAUGUUGUGCCUCCCACCAGAGGUGUCUUCUAAUUAGAGUGGUGCGAGAAGACAAUAUAAGCCACCGUGCAAGCGAAACAAUUAGGAGGCACUGCUUGUAAAGCGGAGAAUUUGGCACUGUCUGGUGGCAUUGCGGUAGCCGCAGGGUGGAAGAGAGAGAGGGAGGGAGGGAGGGAGGAUGAAUCGGAAAACCAGGAGCAGGGGUGAUCAACGAUGAAAACCAAGAUGAAAAAACAAUGUGCAAGAGAGGAAGAGGAAUAGGCUAGCUAUUUCUGUAGUGAAGUAAUAUGAGCAUAACUUAACCCAUAGGUGUGGAACUUGGAUUCGGUUGAAGUAUAUACUAUACUAAAGUAAGCUGACUAAUUGCAAUUUAAAUCUUUGGUGGCAAUGCUUAUGAGUUGUGAGGCCAUCUUGACUAUUCUGGAUCUUGCAUAUGAUUCUAAUUAAACAGUAUAUGUCAGAUGUUUUUAAAGAGGCACACAUUAUAUUUGAUUGUUGAUUUACACAUUCUAAUUAAACAUUAUAUGUCAGAUGUUUCUAAUGAGGCCCACGUUAGAUUUGUAUGUUGAUUUACAAAGGGAUUGAUAAGUUGAUUCUAUCCUUUUUCCUCUGCCAUUCUUCCUUUCAUAAAAUGUGUCCAUCGAGUAAUUAUCCACAAUAACAAACAUGACUAGACAAAAUAUCCACGACAAGUUGCAUAUCUUGUGCAACUGUUCACUGGUGAAAGGCUAUUGUGCCACUAUCCAUCAUUGCAAGGAAAAAACACAAAAGAUUUAUGUUCUAUCAAAUAUAUUAUUUUGUUUGGAUUUAGCCAGGUAAGAUCCUGGUUGCGUCGGCCAUUAGAGUACCUUGCGAUCGACUAGACAGUUUCAGCAUAUCUUCUUGCCUCCUUUUGCAUCACUAGAUUUCGAUGGGCUUGCGAACAGGAAGAUAAACACGGCAACAAAGGAGACGAGAGAUGCCAGUGAUCCAUAUUUCCAAAUAAUUCUCUGCAAGUGAAUUCCAAAGAAUGCAUUGAAUUUUGUGCUGGCGUAGAAUCCAGCAGCAAGGGAAACACCAUGCUGACGCUAGGAGCUACGUGCUGCUACCGCGAGCUCCCAUGGCAAGACCUGCCCAGGGAGGACCGGCAAGAGAAACGGCUGAAGACACACCAAGACCCGGCAACAUGUAGGUUCAUAUUUCACCCCCACCCUCAGAUAAAAAUGUGAAUCAUUUCAAACAUAUUAAAACUUGAGUGGAUUUUUUUAUUUCGGAAAAAUAUGCCCACAAGAGCUCAGGAGUCAACGUCAGUUCUAGGUAAUUAAACAAACAAGAAGAUUGACUUGUUGAGCAAUUUUACUACAUUUUCUUGCUUCCUUUUACGACACUAGAACUUGAUGGACUUCCGGUCAGCUAGAUAAACAUGCCAAUAAAGGACUUCUUGACAAGUCUGUGCAGAUUAAAGGUAUGUUAGUAGGUGGUGUAAUAACACAUGAUUUUAGCUAUCUAAGGAUACAAAUAUGCCACUAUUUAUUUUGUAAAUGCUGGAAAUCAUUGUCGGAAAUCUUAGUAACAACAGUUGUCAUGAACAACUUCGACUAAAUGCAUCAAAUGUUAGGAAUAAUACAUACUAACUUAGUUCAAUAAAUUAACCUAUUGAAGCAAGAAAAGAAACCUUGAAAUGUACUUAGAGUGAAUCAAUUAAGACAUGCAAAGCCAGUACUAAUCCAGUUUUAUUAAUAACUUCCACAAAAUUACAACACGUGACGUAAAAAGGGAAUAUGAUAGGUCAUGUAUUGAUAACGUGUACAACAUUACUACCCUUGACAUAAAAAGAGAAGUUGAUGAGUCAUGUCUCAAUAACGUGUACAACAUUACUAUCAGCUUGUUCAUCUUACCAUCAUACUAUACAACACUACGAGUUAGUUUAAAAAGGAAUAAGAGUUCAGAAUGAACAUGACAGUACUAGCCUAAUCUAUCUUAACAACAUGCACAAGGACACAAAGUUUGUCUGCCACAAGAUAUGAAGAUUUGGUUUAUGUCUAACAACUUGUAUAACAUGACAAACUUAGAUCCAAAGGGAACACAAUCCAUAUAAUUGUUUGACAUGUAAAGUGAAUAAGAUGAGUCAGUGCCAAUUAUCAAGUUUUCCUCACUCUUAGAUAAUAUGAGUAGCAAAAAGGCAACUUUGAUGAUCACUCCAAAAUUACGAUUGUAUGCCGUGCCACCAAACACAACACACCAAAAAAUUAGUUCGAUAAGCAUUGAAUCACUUUAAAAAAGGAAAGCAGUGAUGAAAAGAAACCUAGCCAUGGUGGCUAUAAAAAGGCCUGCAAUAUGUGAGCUCCAUACCAUCAUCCAUCCUUCACACAACUAGAGCACAAGCAUCAAAUCCAAGUAGGUAGUAGUUAACGCAAAUCCACCAUGAAGACCUUACUCAUCCUGACAAUCCUUGCGAUGGCAAUAACCAUCGCCACCGCCAAUAUGCAGGCCGACCCUAGCGGCCAAGUACAAUGGCCGCAACAACAACCAUUCCUGCAGCCUCACCAACCAUUCUCCCAGCAACCACAACAAAUAUUUCCCCAACCCCAACAAACAUUCCCCCAUCAACCACAACAACAAUUUCCCCAGCCUCAGCAACCACAACAACAAUUUCUCCAGCCCCGACAACCAUUCCCCCAACAACCACAACAACCAUAUCCCCAGCAACCACAACAACCGUUCCCCCAGACUCAACAACCCCAACAACCAUUUCCCCAGUCCAAGCAACCACAACAACCUUUUCCCCAGCCCCAACAACCGCAACAAUCAUUCCCCCAACAACAACCAUCGUUGAUUCAACAAUCUCUACAACAACAGUUGAACCCAUGCAAGAAUUUCCUCUUGCAGCAAUGCAAACCUGUGUCCUUGGUGUCAUCCCUCUGGUCAAUCAUCUUGCCACCAAGCGAUUGCCAGGUGAUGCGGCAACAAUGUUGUCAACAACUAGCACAAAUUCCUCAGCAACUCCAGUGUGCAGCCAUCCAUAGCGUCGUGCAUUCCAUCAUCAUGCAGCAAGAACAACAAGAACAACUACAGGGUGUGCAAAUCCUGGUGCCACUGUCUCAACAGCAACAGGUGGGUCAAGGUAUUCUCGUCCAGGGUCAAGGCAUCAUCCAACCUCAACAACCAGCUCAAUUGGAGGUGAUCAGGUCAUUGGUGUUGCAAACUCUUCCAACCAUGUGCAACGUGUAUGUCCCACCUUACUGCUCCACCAUCAGGGCACCAUUUGCUAGCAUAGUCGCCAGCAUUGGUGGCCAAUGAAAAAAAACAAGAGCUAUUCUAAAAGUUAGAUGGCCAUCGUUGCUUAGCUUAUGCACCAAUCGAUGUAACGAUGACAAAUAAAGUGGCGUGCACCAUCAUGUGUGAUCCUGACCAAGUGCUAGUUCAAGAUUGGAAAUAAAAGACAAACUCAGUCCUUGUUUGCCAGCAUUGCCUGUCAUUGUUCCAUUCCAUGUGUAUUUAGAUGUCUGUCCCUAAUCAUAAUUCUAGCCUUGCACAUCAUUAGCUAGUUGCUCGUGUGGUUGUUGACAUGUUAAUCUAGUUAAUAGGCUGAUUGAUCUAUUAGUUGUUGCUCGCAAGUUGAUCGAGCAGCUAUCAGUUGGCAAUUUCCUGAACAAUGCAUACAAUAAUAUUUCAACGUAUUUCAAUUUCUAGAAGUAAAGGGUCAUUUCAGCAGAAAAACAAGUGCG